UUCACUUGAAAGUACAAUGAUGUGAUAGAAUGAAAAGAAAGUACAACACUAUAAUAUACAAAUAAAAGAAAGUAUGUUUUUUUUUUUUUAAAUUGUUUUUUGAAUUGGCGAAAGGUAAGGAAAAGAUGGACUAUACUUAUGCACCUGGAAGGAAUCAUUUGUUUGUUCCGGGACCCGUGAACAUCCCGGAUCAAGUACUUCGUGCAAUGAACCGAAACAAUGAAGACUANACUUGAAAGUACAAUGAUGUGAUAGAAUGAAAAGAAAGUACAACACUAUAAUAUACAAAUAAAAGAAAGUUGUUUUUUUUUUUUUAAAUUGUUUUUUGAAUUGGCGAAAGGUAAGGAAAAGAUGGACUAUACUUAUGCACCUGGAAGGAAUCAUUUGUUUGUUCCGGGACCCGUGAACAUCCCGGAUCAAGUACUUCGUGCAAUGAACCGAAACAAUGAAGACUAUCGGUCUCCAGCAGUUCCCGCUUUGACUAAAAUUUUACUUGAAGAUGUGAAGAAGAUUUUCAAAACCACUUCGGGGACCCCUUUUCUCAUCCCAACUACAGGUAUAUUAUUUUCUUUUCUCUAGGGUUAAAUAUCAACAUAUAGUUACUUAUUGCAAUAUUUUGGGUUAGGUACGGGUGCAUGGGAAAGUGCACUUACAAACACCUUGUCUCCUGGAGACCGAAUUGUGUCAUUUGUGAUUGGACAAUUCAGUUUGCUUUGGGUGGAUCAACAGCAACGACUUGGGUUCAAUGUUGAUGUGGUGGAAAGUGAAUGGGGUGCGGGUGCUAACUUGGAAGUUUUAGCAUCAAAACUGGCUGCAGAUACUGCGCAUACUAUUAAGGCUGUCUGCAUUGUUCACAAUGAGACUGCCACCGGAGUUACAAACAACUUGGCUUCCGUAAGGAAAAUACUUGGUAAAAUCAUUUUGCUUUUUUUAGUUUUUUAUCGCAUCAUAUUCAUAUUAUUACAUCCAUCUAAACUCGCCUUCUUAAUUAUUUUGUUUUAAGCGACUUAAUAUGGUAAGUUAAGUGAAAGAGAUGUUCCCUUAUUUUCUAUCUUUUGUUAUUGGUCAACCUCUAACAUUAGUAUGGUAAAAUCCAGGAAAAUAUAAUUUACUUUGUCAGUUCCUGUUUAACAACUUUAUCGAUUUAAUCAUUUAACUGUUUUCUAUAGUAAAUAAACGAUUAUACUUUUUUACUGUCAUUGUUUUUAUUAUUGUCAUUAGGAUGAAAUAAUAUUAUCUCUAGAAACAAGUGGUUUAAAUUUUAAAAGUCCUUUUUCUUGUACUUUGUAACUUUUACUAGCUCCUUGAUAGUUGUUUUUCAAUAAAUUUGGGUGGCUGUUUAAAAUAAAAAUUACAAUUUAUAACAAUCAAUAAUAAUAAUGUUUUUUAAUUUUGAAUGGUAACGUAUAAUGGUUUAUUUACUACAUAUAAAAUAGUUAACUUCUUAAUCAUAAAAUUAUGACAGUAGGUAAUGAUUUUGUAUAUUAUACAUUUAUUUAUACUGAUACCAAAAUUUGGUAACAAGGAAAAAUAGUAAUAAUUUAGAAUAGUCAAAAAAAUAUGUAAUGAUUUAAUCACACUUGAGAAAACAGUCAACUGAUGCAAUCGACAGAUGGUAAUUAAGUACGCUGUGAUUUUUUGUAUACAUUACCGGUAUAAAAAUAAAAACGGGUUUUAAACGGUAAAAAGUGUAUGAUCACCACAGAUUAAUCGAUAAAUGGUUAAUUAAAAUACAUUGUCCUUUUCUUAAUUUUUGUGUAUUAAAAUAGUAUUUUGUUGGGUAAGUAAUAAGUUUUGUAAAUUUGGUAAUAUAUAUGUUAGAUCACUACCAGCACCCGGCCCUGUUUCUAGUUGAUGGGGUGUCAUCAAUAUGCGCUUUGGAUUUCCGCAUGGAUGAAUGGGGUGUAGAUGUGGCUUUAACCGGUUCUCAGAAAGCACUUUCCCUUCCCACCGGUAUGGGAAUCGUGUGUGCGAGCCCUAAAGCCAUCGAGGCCUCUCAAACUGCAAAAUCACUUCGAGUUUUCUUUGACUGGAAAGAUUACUUGAAAUUCUACAAAAUGGGGACUUAUUGGCCCUACACUCCUUCCAUUCAGCUUCUCUAUGGCCUAAAAGCUGCCCUUGAUCUCAUCUUUGAAGAAGGCUUGGAUAAUGUUAUUGCAAGGCACAAUCGUCUUGGCACUGCCACAAGGUAUAUAAAUUAUUUACAUUAAUAUCAACAAACUUAACUUUCUAUUUACUUUAUAGUUUAUACUACUAAUAAAUAAAUAUGUAUGUGUAAUGAAGGCUGGCUGUUGAAGCAUGGGGGUUGAAAAACUGCACCCAAAAGGAGGAAUGGUUCAGUGACACAGUCACAGCUGUGGUUGUUCCUCCAUAUAUUGAUAGCUCUGAAAUUGUUAGAAGGGGAUGGAAAAGAUACAACUUAAGCUUGGGUCUUGGCCUUAACAAAGUAGCUGGAAAAGUCUUCAGAAUAGGACAUCUUGGCCAUGUUAAUGACGUAAGCAUACAUACAUACAUACAUGCAUAUGUCUAUCGAUGUUACAAAAUUAAGAAUUAAUAAAUGAAUGUGUGUGUAGUUGCAACUGCUGGGGUGUCUUGCGGGGGUGGAGAUGGUGCUCAAGGAUGUGGGAUACCCGGUGAAGCUGGGGAGUGGAGUGGCUGCUGCUUGUGCAUAUCUACAGAACAACAUUCCCAUGAUUCCAUCAAGGAUUUGAAUUCUGUCAGUGUCACUGUCAGUGUCAAUUGUGUUUAUGUAUGUAACUACUGCAUGCUACUCCUCUUCUUCAAUGUUGAUUUGCUUCAAAUUAAUACCUUUGUAAAGAACACUUAAAUAUCCUACUUUACUUCAAUCAUCUUCAUUUGUAAAUUCUUGUUUUCUCAUUACAUCCAUGAAUAUGCCUUUGAGUUGAAAAAUUAUGUGUGACCAAAUUCAAAUCUAUAUCAACUACCAUCACCCACACAAUAUUAAAUGUGAGCUUGUUGCUUGUUAGUACAAGAGGUUUUGACAAUUGACCCACUAUGGAAGUGAGACUUGAGAGUUGAGAGCCUACUCAUAUAGAAAAUCGAUGGGCUUAGUUAGAAAAGCUCUUUGCUAUUAUCAAUAUAAAUCUAUUGGUUUGCAAAAUUAGGGCGAUUAGUAAACGAUUAUAGUGGGAUGAUCAUAAUUAAGAACAACAUGACACCUUACUAUUUGGACUGAAAGUGUUGUGAAUCUCAUGAUUAAUUGGGUCUCAUGAUUAACAUGGUCGAUGCAUUACAACCAAAUCCCCUCAAGAAUCCUAGUGCCAACCUAUUUAAGUGGAGUCUUUCCUCACUUUAAGGGGGUUGAGAGGCAUUGAUAUUCAUACUUUAAGGUUUAGCAAUCCAUUCUUUGCACUUUAUUGGUUGGAUGUUGAUUCUUGCAUGUGUCUAUUAGAUGGAAGCUACUUUGGUUCCUAUACCAUACAUGGAGUUCAACACUACAUCAUCCAAAGUACACCUCAAUCUAAGUUUUACUAUAAAACACAAUAUGGUAGUGAUUGUUGCUUAAAUACUCUCAAGGAUUAUUGAUAAGAACACUUUUGAGGACAUAAUCAAAUGUAGCUUAAUGCUUGCAAUUAAUCGAAAGAAAGCCUGAAAUUCGAGACUCAAGAGGAUCUCCAAAAACGAAAAUAAGGUUCUAAAUCUUCUACCACCGAGAGGUCGGCUCCCUCUCUACUUAGUCUAACGCUAGCUGAAAAUUAGGAAGCAAAUACUUCAAAUGAAAGCAUAAUCCAAAAAGAUACAUAUCAAAAUUAACUAAUGAUGUUUUUUUUAGCAAAAUAACUAAUCGCCCCUUUGCAAUUUCUUUCCACGCCUCUGAUAAGCUUUGGCGACCCAGCCCAUUCAUAUCAACCCCCCCUCUUUAUGAAAAAUCACCUGGAAAUCGGUGUUGAGUAUCCUCACGUUCCUCUCAUGUAGUUCAAAUGGAAGCUCGAUAAGCACUUGUUGUCACUAACCACGUUGGUGUCAAGAAAGAAAGGCACGAAUACUAAGGUGCUGUUUGGUUUUUUUUUUUUUUUUUUUUUUUUUUUUUUUUUUUAAAAAAAAACCUCUUCAGAUUUUUUAUUGCUACUGGACGCAACACACACCAAACACUUUUAAUCUCGUAGUUGUUUGUUUUUUAGAAGUCUUCAGAGUAAAAAAUCUCAGUGCGUGUUCUGUUUGGCGCAUCACUUGUAUUGCCUCUUUCAACCACUUUUUUUAUUUUUUAUUUUUUUUUUGCUGAAAUCUUUAUUAUAUGUUGCUGAAAUAUUCUUUUACAUUUUUUUUUCGUUUUUUUAUAUUAAAUAAUAAUAAUUUCUUGAUGAACAUUAUUAUUUUUUUUGCUAAAAUAUCUUUAUUUUUUUGUUGAAAUAUCAUUAUUUUGUUGAAAUAUCAUAAAUUAUUGCUAAAAUGUCAUACAUUAUUAAAUUUUCGGUAUUAACAAAACUAUUUUCGAUUUAUAAAAUCAAUUUAUUUUAAUUUUUAAUAUCUGCAGCAGCAUGUAGAUAUUAAAAAAACAAACACGUUUCUUAUUAUAAUAUGCAGCCGUUUGGUCCACCUCUUCUACUGUAGAGGGUAGCGGAGGUGGUCCACAGACUUCAUGAAUUUUUUAUUAAAAAAACAAACAACACCUAAAUAAGUUUUGGAAGGAUUUUAUUUUAUUUUAUUAAUUGGUCUUUAUGUGGCCAAUAUGCUAAUGCCAGUUUUAUAUGUUUACUAUACUAUGAACGUGUUCGACAAAAAUAGCUGGUAGCGUGUAACGAGUAGCGUUUGAUUUUGGAGAGUUUUGUUCAAAGCUUCUCCAUGUAGCUUUUGAUUUUGGAACAUUUUGUUUAAAGUAAAAACUAAACGCUCCUGUUGUUGCCGAACGAAGUUUGUUUUUUUGUUUAUUUUUUUUAUACAAGUGUUUUCUUAAAAACUAGAAGCCAGAAGCUCCUAAAUGCCACGUGCCGAACACGCCCAAGUAUUUCUUGAAGCCUAUGUUUGAAGGAGAGAUUUUUUUGAUAAAACUAUAAAAGUAAUAUUUGUUUGAGUAGAGUCGCUCUAUAUCAAAAUUGUCUCGUUGAUUGUCUUUUCUUUCCCGUUUGUAGUGUGUUUUUCAUUGUAGUUGCAUCACACCUUCUUGAGCUACGACACAUGGAAAACUGGGUGAAUGGAAGCGAUGGACGACAAUAAACUGAGUGGGCCAGGUUGGAAAACCUGGCGAGUACAUAGGGAUUUCAAUCCCACAAUGUGAUAAUAAUGUAUAUCUCAAACCUGCAAUCCAACUAUUAUCAUUAACCCAUAUAUCAUAUCUUUUAAAACAAUUUAUCCUAUCUCGUCGAUUCCCUCGUAUAAAUCCUAUACAACAAUCUUACAAGAUCUAUCCUAAAGGAUCAAUAUGAACAACAAUCUGACGACGCUGUUUUGGAAAUUCCCUGACAGCAAACGAGGAUCAAUAAGUACAUCAAAUGAGGGGAAUGGAAUAAGUUUCACCAUGAACCUCCGUUCGUAAAAACAACAAGACAAUUAAGUCAGGGGUGGUUAUCUAGAUUACUGUGCCUAGCAAUGGUAUGAGAUCAUGAGCUAUUUUACCCCAAAACUCACCCUAUCCAGCAAUACAACAUCAUAUAUACCUAGUAGUGGUCUAUUGCUGACACACUAUAUUAGGCAGUCUACGAAGUUCCCUCAAUUACUUCAUGAAAGGAAACUCUGACACAUGAAGCUCGUCUGAUCACUUCAUAAAAGAAACGAUGACUCCAAAGCUCUUCAAAAUAAAAAGUAUGGGUAAAUACUAAUAAAGUACUCCCGUACGCUCCCAUACCCAGACACACAAUAGUGUCAAAAAAGGACUUUGUACAUGAUAGUACUUCUGGCAUAUUAUAGUACCCUAUUAUGAGUAGGACUCGUACCCUAGAACAUAAUAAUACCCCAACACAAGCAGCACCUAAAACACAGAGUUUUGUAAAAAGAAUUGGUACAUAGAAAGUACUUUUGUACGUAGGACAUACUCCAUCGAUCAUCAAUCUCCUCGAACAGAGUUUAUACUCUCUAUUCCGAUCACACACAUACCGUUAAUAAGAUACUACCCAAUAUCCAAACUUAAUUGAACUAAGCAUCUCUUUUAAGUCUUAUUUCAUCACUAAGCAAGCCUACAAUGCUUAUAAUCAACUUUCAAUACUAACUCUGUUUCGGAAACACUAUCUAAAUUUAGUCUACUAUUUUAUACAGAGUAUUAAGUAUUAACAUACAUUUAUCUUCUCAUUUAUAAUACUUCUAUUAUUAGUAUCUUGUAAAUACAUCUCAACACAUAUAGAACCAUGCCUGGUUCGUAUAGCGUAUAUCAUCAAAUAUACAUAUAACACAAAUUUCCAGAUAAUAAUCAUAUAACUCACAUAUAAAAUUUCAACAUAUAUUUAAUACUUUUAUUAAUACUUGUAUUAAAAUCAUGUUCAUGAAAGGGACUAUGCACUCACUUGUUAAAUUGAUGACUCGAAAUUCAGACAACGAUUCGCUUCUAGCAAUUGCCUUUUUCUGUUGACGAAACCUAGUAUUAUUAUCACUAAGUUUUAGUCUAAGAUUGCGACUAAUUAGUAGUCUAGAUUCAUCAUUAACUCAAAGUAUACUUUCAUGAUCUAUCAAUUAAGGAACAACCAGGUAGGAUCAUAUCAGAGGUAGGGUCCAUUUGGUAUACGAAGUAUACUGUUUGGAAAUCCCACUUUAAACACCUUACUAAAUCACAACCUAGACAUCAUCCAUGUAAGUAGAUCAAUCAAUAUAACGACUUGGAAUCACUUAUAAAUCUUGUUUAUAGUUUCAUAAUAAUGAUAAUGAACUUAAACAUAAGUUAUACUUAAAGUAUGGUAGCCAUAACUCACUUACAAGGGGGUUUAGCAAAGAACUGGGCUUUGCGCGGACAGAACUUCUGAGGCGAAAGAUCUUCUUCUCAGGGCCUUCUGGCGCUCCGGGACUCGCUUCUAGAACCUAGUAGGUUAUAGGGAAAAAUUUGGAAGGGUUGGGGUGUUUGGGAGAGAAGGUUUGAGAAAGUGUGAAGAAAAAUGAGUGAUCCGCGCCUCUAUUAAUAGGCUGGGAAAUUGGGUUACGUGGGACGUAACUGAGAUGUACGUUGGGCGUAAUCGAUAUACAGGGGGUACCAAGCCCUACGCUGGGCGUACCGGCUCCAUGUAUAAGCAUCACAUGCGAAACCAUGGGGAGGAAGGUGUGACUGAGAUGGUGCCACGUGUCACCUUCGGAACUUAACCCCAAAAUUAAUUAUCUUCCAAAUUCUAUAACUUUCACAUACGAGCUCAAUUUUUGACAUUAUUUAUUUCCACGCGUAGGUAGCGAAGUGAUCUACAACUUUCGUUUAGACUCCAUUGGCUAAUUUUGACUUUAUUUUUAAAGUUAUAUUUUAACAGACUUAAACAGUUAAAGUCCGUUAAAAAUUCAUAACUUUGUCAUUCGACGUCCGUUUUCGAAUUUCUUUAUAUCGUUGAGCUCCUAUUAACGAGAUAUUCAAUUAUCAUUUAGGUUGUGUCGGCUAAUAAUCGAUCGAUCUGAAAUUCGAUUUUCGGGCUGUGAACUGCUUUGCUAAAUCUUAGAAAAAUCAUAACUUCCUCAAACAAAGUCAGAUUUGGAUGUUCUCUAUAUGCACACUCUCAGUUUAACAUAUACUAUGACUUUCGUUUAGAUCGCUAGGGCUAAAAAGUAUUUUUUCAAAAAUUUUCUUUUUACGAUACUCCGCGUCGUGCUGGUUUUGUCGCAAAACUUCGACGGGUCAUAACUUCUUCGUUUUAAGUCGGAUUUCAGCGUUCUUUAUAUGUAUGAAAUCCUUGUGACAUAUACUAUAACUUUGGUUCAGAUUAAUUACUCUAAAUAAUCUUCUAUCGAAAACUCAUUUAUAACGCUUAUUGUCUCUAAAUUGACUAGCCCGAAUCUGCAGGCGUUACAAAAAUAAACUCACAAAACACUGUCUCUAUCUGACACAUGAAAUGUUAUGUAAGCAAAGUACUUCCAGGAUAAUGAUCACAAAUAUAGACAAAACCAUGAAAUGGUGAUUAAGGGGUAUAAAAUGGGCUGAUUUGCUCAAGCGAUCCACGAACACAAAAAUUACACUAUACUUCACCGAUUUUUGUAACCCUUCAAUAAAAUCCAUACACAGAUCUUCCCAAAUCUAUUCUGGUAAUGCUAACGGUUGCAACAGACCCACCGACACCAAGUUUGAGUACUUGUUGCAUUGGCACACUGCACAUUCCAAGAUGAAUUUGGCCACAUCCUUCUGUAUUCCGACCUUAAAGAAUGCUUUCACGAGACGUUGAUAUGUUAUUUGCAUGCCAUCGUACCCCCCGGUCACCCCCAUUGGAAUUAUUGAAAUAAACGUACCACCUAUUUAGAUGUAUGCGAAAGUACUAAGUGAACCUUGUAGCGCACAUGCCCUCUUAGAAAUGACAUAGCCGACCAUAUAUUUGCUAGGGGUUUCUAUUUUUUUUGGAUAGUGGCCAAUUUUGGUUCGUUAAGAAAGUUGGAUAGAAGUUUACUCCCGUGGCUAAUCUCGGACAACGUGAGUUCCGCCAUGGAUACCCCCACCCCGUGCCUGGAUAACACGUGGCUACCCUGUUUUCUUUUCCCAAACGAUAUAUAAUCUUGAAUUCAAAUCUGGACAACUUUGAAAGGCACCAUUUAUGCUCGCCGAAUAUUGAUCGUUGCUCCAACAAAUACUUUAAGUUCUAUUGGUUGGUGGUAACCUUGAACCGACACCCAAGCAAAUAAGUCCGCCACUUUUGAACCGUUAUCACUAUUUUCAUCAACACUCGCUUAUGAACUGAAUUGAGUUGGGUGUGGGUUCCAAAGACCCGACUAAACCAAGCCACAAGUCUGUUUUAUUGCAUACGAGUUGGUCCUACACCAUAACCCGAGGCAUCCGUCCCGAUCGUGAAUGCUUUAGCAAAAUCUGGUAAAUUUAACACUGUUACCAACAUCAUUGCUUAUUGUGACUACCGAAAAGCUGGUGAUGCUUCGUCAUUCCAACUAAAUUUGUCUUUCUUGAGUAAGAUAGUCAACGGUUUGACGAUCCUUCCAUAACCUUACACAAAAUUUUGAUAAUAACCUAUUAGUUCUAAAAACCCACUCAACUUACCUAUUGUCUUGGGCAUAAGCCAUUCCAACAUAGUUAAAAUCUUGCUUGGUUCAGCUGCCAAUCCCUGCUUGUCACCACAUGCCAUAAAUAGUCAACUCGAUUGGAUCAGCUGCUAAUCCCUGCUAAUCCCCACAUGUCACAAAUAGUCAACCCGAUUUCGACCGAAUACACAUUUUUUCUAUUACAGAAUAGGCUCUCGGCCCUAAGACUUUCGAACACCAUCCUUAUGUGUUGCUGAUAAUCUUCCAUGGUUCUGUUGUAUACAAGAAUAUCGUCAAAGAAAACAAGCAGUAAUUUUCUGAGGUAAGGAAGAAAAAACUUAUUCAUGAAAGAUUGAAAUGUCAAAGGAAAUUGUAAUGCCCUUCAUGCGUUCGAAAUUCCUUCUUUGAUGUCUUCUUGUUUCAUGCGAAUGUGAUGGUACCCCGACUUGAGAUCCAACUUGCUAAAAAUCAUUGCUCCAUGUAGCUUGUCGAGCAACUCAUAAAUAAUGGGUCUAGGAUCAUGGAUUUGUUUAAGGAACGGUAAUCCAUGUAGAAAUGCCAACUCCUAUUUUUUUUACUAGUAGAGCCAUACUAGAGAAUGGGUUUGAGCUCAACCGAAUAACCCCCACGGUAAGUAUUUCUUCCAACAAACGCUCGAUUUUUUAUUUUGCAAUUGUAGGUAGCGCUACGGUCAGGUGUUGACAGGUUCGGUGCCCAUUUUCAAUGUAAUGGCAUGUUCGUGACCCUAAGGUGGCGGUAGCUCUGCUGGUAGCUGAAACACGUCAGUAAAUUCUAUCAUUAUUUCGUUAACUGUAGGGUGAACUUGAGAAUCGGUUUGAUCAAUGAAUUCUAGUUGGAGUACUGCUAUCAAAAAACCUUAACUACCCUGAGAUAAACCCAAAGUUCUAAAUAAAGAGAGUCGUGAGCUUGGUGGUGGGCUUGGUGGCAAGGUCAAAGUUAAGUCAUGGCAAGCCAUGACGUUUUUCAAGGCAUGAUUAUUUUAUAUACAUUAAAAAAGAUUAAUUAUAUAAUUAUUGAAUUUUAUCAAAUAUAUCAAGUUUUUAGAAGUGUUAUAUUAAUAUUUAAUAUAAAAAAGGUAACAAAAACUCAAUUAUUUUAGCCUCUAUCAGGAAAAACAAAAAAAUAAAAACCCAAAAAAAAAAAAACAUGCCCACCUUGAAAAGAAUGCGUGCCAUAACACGAUAAGGUACACCUUGACACGUUAUUUGGAUGCCACGAUAAACAAAACCGCCUUGGACAUUUUUGUAAUGACUACACCAUGCCUCGCGCCAUGGCACACCUUGAGGUCCACCAUGGCGCACUUUUUAGAGCCAUAGAUAAACCCCUUACCAAUGUCUGUAAGGACGUUUCUGACCGGUUCAAACCUGGUUUCCCUUGUAAAGUCACCUUGCGCCCCUUGUCCAUGAAUGUCACUGUUAAAUCACACUAGUUAACCCGAGUCUCUCUGAGGGUGCGAAGCCAUUUGAUACCCAAUAUAACAUCAAUACUACCCAAGUCUAGUGGAUAAAAACUGUGCACCAGUCGAAACCCAUGUAAGGUUAAUGUCACGCUCUUGAAACUUCCAACACUCUUGUCAAACCCUCUAUUACCCAAGAUAACACCAUUUUCUUGUGUCCCAUUUCCCAUUUAUGGUAAGCUCUAGCGGUUCAACCAACCGCAAUGAUACAAAAUUAUGUGUGGUACCGCUGUCAGUGAGCACAAUCACUUUGUGUUCACCGAUGAAUCCUCGUAAUUUCAUGGUAUGAGGUGUGGUGAACUUUUAUUAUCUUGAAGAUUUUCAAGGGAACGAUCCCGAUCAGUUUAUUAUUUUGAAGAUUUUCGUGAUUAUUGAAGAAAUUUUCAACUUUUGCAUCUGGAAUUUUUCCGGUUAGUUUUUACUGUUUUGUUGGUGAUGUUGCUUCCAAAAAUAAAGAUUUUGGUGUUAUUGUUUAUACAUUUGCUACUUUUUAUCUAAGUUCUUGAAGACAUUAUAUAUANNNNNNNNNNNNNNNNNNNNNNNNNNUAUAUAUAUAUAUAUAUAAUGAAGAAUAUGAAGUUAUUGUUGAAAAUAGAUUGUUUGAUAUGUUUAUCCCUUGGAAAAAGUUGUUUUGAAAAAGAAAUAAACCUAGUUUUAGGAUAUAGGAUUUAACAUUUUUACUAAGUUUAGAUGUUAAAGCUUUUUAUGGAGUGCAUAAGUUCUUAUAACUGAUGUGCAAAGCUUAGAAGCUAUCAUACGUUGAAUAAAGGAAAUUUAUGAAUGAGUAACAAUCGACAUUGUGCAUUAAUUGUCGUACAACGUAAGGAAUAAAUGCUAACACUCAUGCUUAGGGGUGUCAAAAAAACUCGAACCCGAUUAACUCGACCCGACCCUAACCCGAUUAAGGUAUUUAGGGUCGGGUUUUAUAGGGUCAAAAUUCUUAAUCGGGUUAUUCGGGUUAACCCGACAAACCCGAACUAUAGUUAGGGUCGGGUUUAGGGUUGAUUUUUUUUAUAAAAGUCGGGUUUCGGGUUAACCCGAUUAACCCGAAUAAAAAUACACUACAAUAUUUAUGUAUUUUAUUCCACCUCACAUCUUUUAUUUUUGUACAUUAUGUGGCCUAAAAAAGAGGAAAAUAAGAUGCAACACAAUUGUAGAACAAAAUAUUGAUUUGUACAAAUGGAAAUUAAUAUGUAGCAUAGUAAAAUAAUAUGCAAUGGUAGUUUAUCGUGGCCUAAAAUAAAAAAUACACAGUCACAAAUCAAAUGAAUAAUGCUUUUUAAUUGUAUAGUAUAAACAAGAAAAAUAAACCAUAUACACUCAUAGUCAUUUGGAUUUAACACAUCCUAAUUUAACCUUCUGAAAAUAAACAUUAUUAUAAAUAUGACACAAUAUUUUUGUCUUACAUUGUAACCCGAUUAACCCGACUAACUCGACCCUAUAAACCCGAAACCCGAAUAACCCGUACCUUAAUAGGGACGGGUUCUGGGUGAAAUUAUUUUUAUAAAAAACCCGACUAACCCGACCCGUUUAACCCGAAACCCAAUCGGGUUGACCCGAUUAACAGCCCUACUCAUGCCUACAUUUUUUUACCAGGUCACACCUCAACUUUUACUAGCUAUGAUUUUUACAUGCUUUUUCAGGAAAUAAUUAGUAAGUGGAUAUAAAGAUUCAUCAUCAUAGAACAUGCUGCAUCGUGUUGAAACUAUUAUGAAAUUAUAUUUUGAACAAUGUUGUUUUGGAAAAACUUGUACUUUGUUUCUUUUUAAGCUAUGGGUUGUGAGUUUGUGUACAUGCAACAUUUGUUUUUUAUCAAUUGGUGAUACCCACUUGGUUUCUCAACCAAAAGUAAAAAAACACCUUAUUACCCAACCAAGGCAGUUGCUUUUGACAUAACUCUUUUUUAUUUUGAUUAUUUUUUAUGUUUUUUUUUAUAUUCCAAUUACAGAUCCACACCCAUUCGAACAACUUUUUUUUAAGCUAAUUUUUUGUCUUUCUCGGAUUACCUACAAACCUCAUCCGACCAUCAUUUAUUUAUAUAGAUCAGACUCAAUCUCGGAUCCACAAGAUCCUACCCAUUCUGCUUGGAUUCUUUUUGCUCAUAUUCAUUGUACGAGAAAAAUCCAUUCAAAUUUUUUGGUUUUCUAUUUCGGAUCAAACUAUCCGAACCGACCCACUUCAUUUUGGAUUCACUUCUCUUUAUUGGAUUCACUUUUGCUAAUUUUGAAUGACACAUUUUUUUGUCCCAACAUUUUUUUAAAACCAAUUAAUUUCUUUCUUUUUAUUUUACCCAAUUAUUUCAUUAGAAACAAUUUUUCCUUUUAGCCCCAACCCAAUACCUUUUAGUCUCUAAUGCUCCAUCUGAGGUUAUCAUUAGACCAAAUUUUUUACAAACAAUUUUGUGUUAUGAAUUAUUAUUUAGUGAAUGACUAUUGGAUUCUCCAUAUUCCCCCAUUACUCUCCAUAAUUAGUGAACAUUAUAGCAAACAUUAUUAUGUGUUUUAUGAGUGUAGUUAUGCACCACUAUAAUGAGCAUUCAUAUCAUACAUCACCUUUCAUCUUCUUUGUCUAGUAUAAAUAGUGAAUAUUAUGUAUUAUAAAGUUUGAUGAUUUCAUCACAAGUAUUAGAAUAAAAGCUCUCUCUACUCUCAUGUCUUUCUUUACUCUAUAACUUAUCUUGUUAUUUGAUCAUAUUUUAUAACACGUUAUCAGCACGACUCUACCAUAGAGCUCUAACUCUUUAUCGCUCUCAUUAUUUUCAGGUAUGUAUUUUUUUAUAAGUUUACAUGUACAAUGCUUACAAAUUAUUUUCUGAAAUUUAUUAACUAACAAUUCUUGAGCAUACAAGUCUUUAUUUUGAUUAGUAUUUUCACUAUGAAAAACUAUGUUAUGCUAGAGAAAAUUUUCUCUACUUUCCAUGCCACCAACAUGCUCCUGCAGCAGCAAUAUCGUGAGAAAGAUUUAAAAAGAAUAUAUUAUGAAUUAAUCUCAUUUCUUCUUGUGGCUGAAUAAAACUAUGAACUAUUGAUGAAAAAUCAUCAACCAAUCCCAACCGGUUCUAGUGCAUUCCCUGAAGUGAAUGCAAUAUCAUAUAAUCAUAAUAGUCAUGGGUAUAAUCGAGGUCGUGGAGGUUAUUAUCAUAAAAAAUAACAAGAUUACAAGCAACCACCAGAAGUUGGAAAAUAGCAAAAAUCCACAUCCUAAUGAUAGACUAGGUUAAGGAAAAAAAAAAUUGAAAAUGUUUGUCAUUGAUGUGGAACGACCAUUCAUUGGUCUUGUACAUGCUGCUUACCAAAGCAUUUUGUUGAUCUUUAUCAAACUUCUCUAAAAUCUAAAGAAAAAUAAUAUAUCAAAUUUUUUUUAUUCAAAGUGAUAUUCAUGAAGAUCAACCUGAAAUGACACAUUUGGAUGUUGCCGAUUUUCUUGUCUACCCAGAAGGGACAAGUGGUGAUAUGGAUGGUGAUUGAAGAAUAUUGUGUAGUUUUGUUUCAUGACAUUUAUUAUGUUUUUAUGUCAUAUGUCGAAUGUUUCUUAUGUUUUAUUUAUUUAUUGAAAAGAAAUAUGAAUAUUCGCAAAAGAAAUAAGGAAGAUAUAUUUCUUGCAGACAAUGCAAUAACAUUCUGCUUACUUAUCAAUUAGAGAAGCAAAUGUUAAUAUAAUAACAGGUAAUACAAAAAUGAUUAAAAGCUCCAGAAGAGCAAAUAUAGUAUUACCAUAAGUGACAAUAAUUACAAUUGGUGAUGCAUUAUUUUUAUUAAAAUCACCAAGAAAAUUAUUAAGUUUUAAGGAUAAUCGGUCUAACAGAUAUCCUAUUGAAACAACUAAUGAUGGUAAUAAAAAUUAUCUCAAUAUUACAAAAAUGAUAUCGGAUAAGAAAAGUUUUUUGGAAAAAUUACAUGUAUUGUCCUCCGGAUUGUACUAUACAAAUAUUACAAUGAUUCAUGCUAUUGAAAAUAUUACAAUGAUUCAUGUUAUUGAAAAUAAAAACGGUAUGAUAUUACCUUCAUAGUUUGGCAUGACCGGUUGGGCCAUCCCGGAUCAAUUAUGGUAUAUAGAAUAAAUAAAACUUCAAGUGGUCAUUCCUUGAAAAACCAGAAGAUUUUUCAAGAUAAUGAAUUGUGUUGCAUGCUCUUAAGGAAAAUUAAUUUCCAGUCCAUCAUUGAACAAAGUUGGUUAUGAAAGUCUUAGUUUCUUACAAAGAAUUCAAGAGGAUAUAUAUGGACUAAUUCAUCCAACACUAUGUGGACCAUUUAGAUAUUUUAUGGUUUUAAUUGAUGAGUCAACUAGAUGGUCACAUGUGUGCUUGUUGUCUAGCUGUAAUUUGGUUUUUGCAAUAUUACUUGCAUAAAUAAUCAGCCCAAGGGCACAUUUCCACGAACCCAAUUAAGAUAAUUCGACUUGACAAUGUUGCAAAAUUUUCAUUGCAUGCUAUUAACGAUUAUUGCAUGUCAAUUGGAUUGAACAUCCUGUUACACACGUUCGUACACAAAAUGGUCUAAUUGAUUAAUUAAUCAAACACCAUUAAUUAAUUACAAGACCAUUACUAAUGCAUUAUAAACUUUCUAAUCAACAUAAGGGCAUGCAAUUUUACAUGCAACAUCACUUAUAUGCAUAAUGCCAAUUAGUUAUCAUGAGUUCUCCCCUAUUCAACUGGUUUGCGGUCAGGAACCAAAUAUUUACCAUCCAAGGAUGUUUGGAUGUACAAUUUAUGUACCCAUUUCUCCACCUCACUUCACAAAAAUGGGUCCUCGAGAAGAAUGAGAAUUUAUGUUGGUUAUGAAUCUCCAUCUAUAGUAAAAUAUUUAAAAUCAUCAACUAAAGAUUUAUUUACAGCUAUAUUUGAUGAUUAAUAUUUUGAUGAAUCAUAUUUUCCAACAUUAGGGGGAGAAAUAAAGAAGCUGGAAAAUAAAAUUUCUUGAAAGGAAUUAUCACUUUCAGUUUUAGAUCCUCGUUCAAGUCAAUGUGAACUUGAAAUAAAAAAGAUAAUUCCUUUACAAAAUGUAGCAAAUCAAUUGCCAGAAGCAUUUACUGACCCUAAGUGAGUAACAAAGUCUCAUGUACCAGUUAUACAUACUCCAGUUAGAAUUUAUAUCCUACAAGAAAAAAAAUACAACUACAAAUGAAUCUUAGGCACGCCUGAAGCAUGGAAGAUCAGUCGGUUCCAAAGAUAAAAAUCCUCGAAAAUGAAAUGGAGCAAAUACAAUUGAUGGUCCAAAAGAGAAAACAAAAUCUCUUGAAAAGAUUAAUGAAGCUCUAGAAGAGCCCAAUGACAUAACAAAAGAAUAUAAGGUACCUGGAAAAAAUGAAAAUGAUGAGAUCUCAAUAAAUUAUGUCAUCACAGAAAUAAGAUGGUACCAACAUAAGACAGAAGUCGACGAUAAUUUUUCAUAUUAUGUUCCGCGCGCGAUUAUAAAGAAAAUGAUGAUCUUGAACCUAAAUCUAUUGAGAAAUGUAUGAAUAGAAAAUAUUGGCCAAAAUGGAAAGAUGAAAUAAAUAAAGAGCUUAAUUGUCUUACCCAAUGAAAAGUUUUUGGGCCUGUAGUCUAUACACCAANUAGUGGGACACGAAUGAGUAUUUGUGGGCAAAAGAAACGAGAAAAAAUGAAGUUGUGAGAUAUAAAGCAAUACUUGUUGCACAAGGUUUUACCCAAAGGCCCGAAAUUGAUUAUGAAGAAACGUAUUCUCCUGUAGUUGAUGCAAUUACAUUCAGUUAUUUUAUAAGUUUAACAACAUAUGCAAAACUGAAGAUGUGUCUAAUGGAUGUAUUUUACCACUUAUUUAUAUGGUUCACUUGAAAAUGAUAUUUAUAUGAAAAUCCCAGAAGUGUUUAAGGUGCUAGAAGCACAAACUUCUCAUUCUCGUGAAGUAUAUUUGAUGAAAUUAAAUAAAUCUUUGUAUAGAUUGAAACAAUUUGGCCGUAUGUGCUUCAAUUGUUUUAGUACAUUUCGGUUGAAAAAGUGCUAUAAAAAUGAUCCAUUAAGCCCAUGUGUAUUCAUAAAAAGAUGCAGAUAAGAGUUUAUCAUAAUUGAUGCUAUUGUAGAUGAUUUGAACAUAAUUGGAACUCCUAGAGAAUUGGAAAAGGUCACUUCCUGUUUGAAAGAAAUUUUUGAAAUGAAUGAUCUUGGUAAGAUGAAAUUCUAUUUGGGUCUUCAAAUUAAGCACACAAAAAAUGGAGUUUUUGUACAUUAAUAUCUAGAAAAGGUGCUAAAAAUGUUUUAUAUGAAUAACUCACAUCCAUGAGUAACCCGAAGGUGGUAAGGCACUUAGAUGCCAAAAAGGAUCAAUUUCAGCAUCAUAAAAAACAUGAAAAUCUUCUUGUUCCAGAAGAACUAUAUCUUAGUGCUAUUGGUGCACUAAUAUAUCUUACUAUUAAUACAAGACCUGAUAAAUAUUUUGUCGUAAACUUAUUAGCAAGAUAUAGUUGUUGUCCAACAAGAAGAUACUGUAAUAAAGUCAAACACAUUCUUUGAUAUCUUUGAGGUACAAUGGAUAUGAAUUUAUACUAAUCAAAUUCUUAAAAUGCAAAGUUAAUUAGUUAUGUAUAUGCUAGAUAUUUAUCUGAUCCACACAAAAAAGUUAUUUAUUCACUUGUGGAGGUAACGUAAAUUCUUGUCAUUUUGUUAAACAAACUUUAGUUGCUGCUUAUUCUAACCAUGCGGAGAUUAUAGCAAUUUAUAAGAUAAUACAACUUGUAUAGCUCCAUUCAAGGAAGGAUUUAUAAAAGGAGACAGAACCAAGCAUAUAUCACCAAAGUUUUUUUCACUCAUGAUCUUCAAAAAGAGUGUGGCAUCAACAUCUAGAAAAUUCAAUCCUGUAACAACUUUCCUGAUUGGUUUACUAAAACACAUCCUACAUCGAAAUUGAAAAGAUGGUACGAAACAUUGUUAUGUGGUGCUUCAAGAGAAUCAAGUGAUGUGCUAAUCUGGGGGAGUUGGAAACAUAUUGUACUCUUUUCCUUAGCUAUGUUUUUCCCACUGGGUUUUCUUUGCAAGGUUUUUAACGAGGCAAUUGUUUCCAAUAUCUAUUAUUAAUCAUGUACUCUUUUUCCUUAAUAAAGGGUUUUUCCCAUGAGGUUUUACCGAUUAAGGUUUUAACGAGGCAUGAUACAAUCGUCAUUCAAGGGGGAGUGUUAUGAAUUAUUAUUUAGUGAAUGACUAUUGGAUUCUCCAUAUUCCCCCAUUACUCUCCAUAAUUAGUGAACAUUAUAGCAAACAUUAUUAUGUAUUUUAUGAGUGUAGUUAUGCACCACUAUAAUGAGCAUUCAUAUCAUACAUCACCUUUCAUCUUCUUUGUCUAGUAUAAAUAGUGAAUAUUAUGUAUUGUAAAGUUUGAUGAUUUCAUCACAAGUAUUAGAAUAAAAGCUCUCUCUACUCUCAUGUCUUUCUUUACUCUAUAACUUAUCUUGUUAUUUGAUCAUAUUUUAUAACAUUUUGUCUAUUAAAACCAUUUAUCCCUUCUUAUUUAAAACCAAUUAUUUUUUUAACACAAAUUUUAUCUCCAAGACUUUAUUCUUCUUGCCGAUUUCAAGUGAAGACACAAGUGUUUUAGAGAUUAUCAUUUUUUGUGUUCUUCCUUCUACCGAGCAACCCGUAUCUGCAACCACCGACUUAUGUUCUUCGAAUAUUCAGAUCCAUAUAUUUAAUCGGAAACUUUUUUGAUCAACAAUGUUCUUCAAAUAUUUUGAUCUUUUUAAGGUUUGCAUUUUAUUUCCUUUAGAAUGGUUAAAUAAGGUAUUUGACCACCUUCAGACCAAAAAAUUUUCGGAUCAGAGAUCAGUCUCUUCCGACCGAGAUUGACAAAUCAAUGGUCUUGCUUCGUAAAUUCGUGUUCGUAUUUCAUUUUAUUAGCAUUAUGAUUCUUCAACAUGGUUUAUUAGAUAUAUCUUUAGUAUUUGUUCAGUACAGCAAAACAUCACACAAUCUACUCAUGACUUGAAAAUAAUAUCCUCGUUUUUACAGGUAGAUGAUCACAUCAUGGGGGAGCGUCCAAUGCUCCAUCAUAUCCGACAUAUUUUCUUGCCCGAUUUCAUUAUUAUUUUUUAUCUUUAUUGCAUCCUCGAACAAAAAUAGGGGGAGAAUAAUGGGCAUCCACGUUUGAAAUUUUUAUUUGAGUUUGGAUUUUAGAGACAUUUGAAGAUGCAGAUUUAUCUAGUAAUGCGAUUUGGCACUGAUUUUUGGGUUUUAGAGAUCAAAUUUUUAGGCAUUACUAGAUGUUCUUUGGAUCAUGAUUAUUUAUAUCCAGACUCUAUUUUUUGGGAUGUCUCAUUUGUGUUAGCAUCCAAAUCAGGUUUUAUGAUUGUUCGAGUUUGGAUUUUCGAUAUUUUGAAGGCGGAGAUUAUUUUGGAGAUGCGACGCGACACUGAAUUGAUCAUUUUUUUAUCAGAAUUUUUGCAUUGCAAGACAUUUCUUCGGAUCCAUAUUAUUUAUUAUUCAUACUUUACUUAAGGAUGCUUUACACUUUCAACAAGUAUUUUUCAGAGAUUUUUGGUUCCUUAUGAUUUGGGAUCGGAAUUUGAGGCCUUUGUGUGAUUCGAUAUUGAGAUCUUUAGUUCAACAAUCAUAUGGCAGAUUGUGAACCUGAUCGGUUUUUGGGACUGGUCUAAUUUGAAGAUUGGGAUUUCAUAUUUGUGUUGAGAGUUGGUUCCUCUAAAUGUUCUUUGAUGUUAAAGAUUCCAUUGUCAGAUUCAGAGUUCGUAGUUGCUUCAUAAUUUUUGAGAUAUAUUAGCACCAGACCUGCCCGUCAGUUGUUCUUCCUUUUAUCAUUGAUUUUUACCCUCAUCAUUUUUGAGAAUUUAAGGGGAGAUUAUUGGAACAGGAAACACCUACAAUCAUGAGUGAUUUAUUAGGUUGGAAUAGUCUAUUGUAUGAAAUGCAUAUUCCAUCCACUACUAUAUAAAGUGGUGGUAUGUGGUCAUUUGAGGUGUGCACCAUGUAGACAUUAGAUUAGAGAGAGUAUUGCUGGAAUAUUCUUCCUAUCCAUGAGUGUUCUUAAUUGUAAUAUUUGAUAUCUCUCUAUCUAUACAUUGUUAGUUUACUUAAUUGUUUAUCAUGUUCUUACAAUUAUCUUCAUGAUUAUUAUUAUUAUGCAACAAAGCAAUCAUUAAACUGGUACAACAAUAUUUCUUUCCUUCUCCUAUUUUUCUGUCAAAGGCUUCAUGAAAUAAAUUUUAAUGUUACCAUUCUCUUCGUAUUGGAUACAUUUCCGGAGCACUCCCCAUACAUUAUUCAUUCAAAUAUCUUCUUCAAAGAUUAAAUAAUGAAUGCCUUCAAUAGUAAGAUCCAUAGUUCGAAAUGACUUUCUAACAACUGUUGUUGUUUCUGACCAACUCUCAAGAAGCAAAGAUAAUUACAGUAGUGCCCAAACUUCGUCUUUGAACCAUAUGUCAAAAAUUGCAAUCUUUAUAUUAUUAAGUUGAAUUUAUUCACAUGGUAUGUAAUAGGGCCAGAUUCCUUCAUCUUCGUAUUCAACAUACGUCUAUGAAAGAUCUUUAUGCUCAAGAAAUAUUAUAGGAUGAUAUUUGAUAGAUAAUAUAUGAUCCUAAAGGGUCACACUAGCAACAACUUGAGGUUAAUAUAUAUAUAUAUAUANUGAUGAAUAUUUAUGUUUCUUGUAUUUAAUUGGAAAAAUUGUUAUUAAUGGAAAUAAUAUUUUUUAAGAGAGAAAAACAACUAAUAACUCACAUAGUAUGAAUUAUAUGUUGCAUACAUCUUUUUGGACUUAUAGUAGGUUAUUUAUAUAGAUAUAGCUUAUAUAACAAUAUGAUGUAUAUUCUAGUUUAUGAAAAUGGAUUAUGAUUCACACCCCCUAUCACAUCCCUCCUCAUUGCCAUGAAUGAGCUUGGACGGGUGAAUUUGGAGUGUUGGGUUUUCUUAUUACAAGCCAUACAUGUCAUAUGAUAUCAUACCUUCUUUGAAUACUAGCAUUGACUUUGGUAUAUAAUUGUAUGUAUAAAAGGAGACUAAAGGAUUUCAAAAGAGUUUGAUCUUUCUUCUUCUUUUCUUCUAAAAAGUCAUGCCUUUUUCUCUCUAUCCCCUUUCCUCAUUGUUUCAGUAAGUUAUGUAAAUUGAGUGUUUAUUAGUUGCUUCUCCUUAAGAAUUAUUUGGUAUAUGUCUUUAAGGAUUAAGAACAACUAAAUAUACAAGAUGGACUAGCAUCCAUGUCAAGUUCAAGAAUUGUUGGUGUUUCUAACUAAUGUGGAGUUCUACCUUUACAUUCUUCAUCAACUUACAACCUCCUAAGAGGAUCAAAGUCUUCAAACGUUGUCGCUUUUUUCCUAUGGCUGUGUUUUAAUCUUUCCAUGCUUUGCAAAAUGAUCUUUCAUGGGUUAAAAUGGUUUUAAGUUUAUUUAAAUCUUAAAAUGUUUCUAUUGCUAAUCUCCUAGUUUUGACACUAUAAUUAGACUAUUUUUUAUAAAUAAAACCCAACAAUUGGUAUCAAAUCCAUUUUUGCAAGCUUGGUUAGAUUAUUAGAUUAUUUGGUAUAACCUUUAUUUUUGGAAAACAUGGAUUGUUUUCUUUUUAUAAGAAAAUUCCAUAAACACUUUUUGUUACAACUUUAUAAUUGUUAUUUUAUAUGGCAAAAGUUCUAACAUCCAUAAAAUUUUGAAAAUUUUAAAACUUUUAAAUAACUCCAAAAACCAUCAUUCAUUACAAAUUUCUUUCAAAAUAGUUCAACAUUGGGGAAAUCCGAGAAAUCUUAAAACAAUUACAAGGAGGUGCACGAUCACGCCUUCGCCUUCCUGCGAUCCUGAAAUGUACUUGAAACAUAAUCUAAAACUGUAAGCCCGAAGCUUAGUGAGUUUCCCCCAAAAUACCAAUCAUAAUACCAAAACUAGAAUAAUGUCACAAAAAUCAUGCACUCAGAGCCUUCAGCCUGACUGGAACGCCCCCACCGGCCUACAGUCUAUCUGGUACGCUUAUAGAACCUACAUCAUGACUGGUAUGCUACCUUGAGCCUUCAACCUAUUUGGAACGUUCUAUGGGCCUUCGACUUGACUGGUAUGCCCCACUGGCCUUCAGUCUAUCCGGGAUGCCCUGGGUCUGUUGGCCUUCAGCACAAAGCAGGUCCGCCUCAACCAAUCACAUAACCUAUCGACAUAUAAAUAACAAUUAAACAUAUAACCAGAAAAUCAUGCAAACAGACAUAUCUUAUAGAUCACUAAGUAUAUCAUUAUUCUAUUAUCAGGAUACAUAUCUAACAGGUCACUAUAAUACUCACACAUGCAAUAAUCAGGAUAACAAUCCAAAAGGGUCGACCUUGGUGCCUUCGACCCAACAAGUAUAGUGAGGAACACUCACCUCACAAGUAGCUGAACUGAUAAGAUCUAACUCCGGAUCCCAACUCCCGAAUCAAAGCCUAAAAGCAACAUGACCAACCCAUCAAAACCUUAAAUCCCCAAAAUGCUUUUAAAUCCCCAAAACGAGUUGGUUAACCAUGGUCAAAGUCGAGGUCAACAAUCCAUGUUGACCCAACUCGUCGAGUGCACCUACUAACUCGUCGAGUUCCUUUAGUACUUAGAGAAAUAGGGAAAACUUGAGCCAACUCGCCGAGUUAUCAGGACAACUCAUCGAGUUCCUACAGUAUCCAAAAUAGCAGGAAAACUGAAGCCAACUCGCCGAGUUGUCAGAACAACUCGUCGAGUUUUCCCAACUUAACUCAUACAGUCCUUUUUUGUCCCUUCCAACGCCCAAGAAUGCAGAUCUAGAACCCAAGAGCUGGAACGCCAUGUAAAGUUGCUAACUUUACGUCCAUGCAUGACACAAGGAGGCUAAAACACUCAAAGAAGGCCUAACGAGGGUCUAAAGCAUAAAGGGGGCCCUAUAACAUGAUAAAGCUUGAAGCUUUAAGCCCAAAGAGGCCACAAGGCAUCUAGAUCUGAAGUGACAACUUCAAUAAAUGGCCAAACCCAAGAAUGACUCCAGUAUGAGCCAAAAAUGACAAUAAACUUCCAAAGGGGAAGAUCUAUGCAAUAAAUGAUCAAGGUAUCGACUUUUUACCUCAAAUUGGUUGCAGAUACAGAGAAGAUUUUGGAUCUACAACCUUCCUCUCAAUCAAACCUCUUCAAACUCCAAGCUCCUUCAAAAGAUCACCAAAAAUUCACUCUUUAAGCUCACACAUACAAAAAGGAGAGAAUGCACGAAUUAGGGUUUCAUAAUCAACCACCAUCUUGUCGAGUUGGUCCAAAAAGUAUGUGCGACCCAAGAGCUUCCAACACGUCUAGUUGAGGCCAUCAACUCGACGAGUUCCAAAGGGAAAUUUGUCUUUUAAGCCAUAAAUAUCAUACCUGGGAGUUGGGAUGUUACAACUCUCCCCCACUUGAUCUAGGCUUCGUCGUCGAAGCUUGUUGCGGUGAACACAUUCGGAUAAUGCUCCCAAUGAAUUAAUGGUGCAUUGAAAUUUUUUAGUCUGAAACUAGGAAUUGACGGAGAAACACUUCAUGUUUCACUAUGCCUCAUUAUAAUGUUCAAAAUCUUAUAAUUCAUUCUUUUGCGAGAUCUUAAUGAAACUGGUCUUUUUGUAAAUCGUUUAUUCCAAAUGGAUCCAUAUUUUAUUUUCUGAGUUAUGAGAUUUAUGGCUGAGCAUUUUCUAUCCUUUUGUCACUUCUAUCUUACUAAGUCAUUAAUUGAAUAGUUCAACCAAUCAUUCAAGGUUUCUCUCUCAUACCCCCAGUCGGCGGUGGAAACGCCAAGACUUGCAACAUUAGAAUAUUGGAUUACAAAUGUUGAACAUACAUUGCAAAAUACAAUGUAUAACAUAAUUAUUGAAUAUCUCAUUACCAGAAAUCGGGGUUACAUUAGUUCAAAUGCUUUGAACAUUAAGCUUACAUAGUACAACAUAUUACUAGUCUAUAUCCUUGCGUCUUGAUCUCCUGUAAUUGUAACAACGUAAAUUUUCAAAGUAAUUUCUCCAUUUCAAAAUAUAAUAAAAAUUCAUAUAUAAUAUCAAAAUCCGUGUAUCAACAUCAUCUCGAUAAAGAAAUCCCAAGAUCUUAAUGUAAAUAAAACUCCAUCCGUGUGUACGGUCAUGCCGGCGCCUUCCCGCGAUCCUCACUGGUACCUGAAACACAUAACACACAACACGGUAAGCAUAAAUGCUUAGUGAGUUCCCCAAAAUACCACACACAACACAUACGCCACUCAAGGAUACCGUAUGACCCUCCGGUCGAUGUGUCUCAGCGUGACCCUCCAGUCCUGUAGCUCGUUGGACCCUCUGGUCCGGUCAUAGCUCGUUGGACCCUUCGGUCCGAUUUGUAUCGUUGGACCCUUCGGUCCGGUCUAUAUCGUUGGACCCUCCGGUCCGGUCUAUAUAACACAUAGCAUACAUAUAUCACAAUGCACAUAAUCUCAUACAUACACAUAGCACACAAGACCCUCCGGUCUACACAUAGAUACCACUCUAGGUAAUGUAUAGUGAGAAGACUCAACUCGAGUAACUCGGAUAAUCUCGCACACGAAUAUGCUGAUCUAGCCCCCGCAUAAUCACAUAUCAAUAUCCUCAAAUAAAUAAUGGCUCUCAAAGGCUAGAUUAAAUCCCUUCCUAUAAUCCCACAGAAGGGUAAAAGACCAUUUUACCCCUCCUUGACCCAAAAGUCCAAAUGUUGACUAAAACCCUAAAAGUCAACGAAAGUCAACAGGGGCAGUACGCGGGGCGUACCAACUCGUGUACGCGGGGUGUAAUCCGGCUAACCAAAAUCGGGGGAUAAGACCCAUUACGCGACGCGUAAUGGGAUUAUGCCCAACGUAAGUCCCAGUUACCCAUUCUCAAAAGUUUUGGUCUGAAUCGAUUAAGACAAUGGUUCAUAUCAUAGAUCUAGGCACUCUACUGCCUCCUAAACCAUAAAGUCGAAACCUUUAGGCCUUUGCAUGGCUAAAAAGGUUACAACUUCUUCCAAACUCUUAUCCCCUUUCCCCAUUAAGACCAAAACCCAUGCAUGACUCCAUCAUGACGACCAAGAUUGGAUUUUUAUGAACCUACAACUCAUAUUACUCUGAAAUAUGGCAGAUCUAAGCUUAUGGAGACCAUUUGCUCAUAAAGUCUCCACCUUGGGACCAAAAACCCUAAAAAUUGGUCCAUGAAGCACAAAACAAAAAUGACAAGGAAAGCUUUGAGCUUUUUACCUCCAAGUGAAGCUCUUCCCUCUGUAGAACUCAAAUCCAGGCUUGUACUCCAACUUCUAGCCUCCACAAGAACCUCCUCUUCUUCUUCACUAACACACAAAGGCACUUUCUAGCUCAAGAACACUCACACACUAGCUUUAGAAUGAUAAUAUUGCUCUCCUAGGGUUUUUCUCUGUGGAAUGGUGGUUGGGGACAAGACCAUAUCAUUGCUUUUAUAGUCCACAAGCCACAAUUAGGGUUUGCAUCUUGGCCCGCUACGCCCAGCGUACCUAGGCAAGUCUCGUCCAAACUAAGAGCAUGAGUACAUGCAGCGUACUCUUCAGUACGCCCAAUGUACUCAAUGGCCAUAUUUUUCCUUUAGGCGCUAAACUUGACAACUUGGAAAGGAAGAAGGGUUAAAUAAAUAUACCUGAAUUCCGGGAUGUUACAAUUCUCUUCCACUAGAACCAGACUUUUACCUCAAAGUCUCAUGCCGUAAACAACCUCGGAUGCUGGUCCCGCAUCUCUGACUCCGACCCCAAGUCAGCUCGGACCCUCUCCGAUGUUGCCACUGGACCUGAACCAGGGGCACCUCCUUGUUCCUCAGAACCAUGAUCAUUCGAUCCACAAUCGUGAUUGGCCUCUCAACAUAAUUCAUCGUCGCAUCCACCUGAAUGUCCUCCAGUGGUACAACUGUCGUCUCGUCGGCAAUACACUUCCUCAACUGAGACACGUAGAAGGUAUCAUGUAUCUGACUCAACACUGCAGGUAGCUCCAAACGAUAUGCUACCCUGCCCACCCUAGCGGUCACCAUGAAAGGACCAAUGUACCGGGGUCCCAGCUUGCCCCUUUUCUAGAAUCAGAUCACUCCCUCCAAGGAGAUACCUUCAGGAGUACGAAGUCUCCCACCUGGAACUCGAGCUCGGACCGUCGCCUAUCUAGAUAAAUCUUCUGACGACUUUGAGUUGUUAACAACCUCUGUCUGACCUGCUGUAUCUGCUCUGUCGUCUGAAGCACUAUCUCAGUGUUGCCCAUCACUCGUUGCCCUACCUCCCCUAGUAGAUGGGAGUCCGAUACCUCCUCCCAUACAACAACUCGAAGGGAGGCAUACGGAUACUCGAAUGGUGGCUGUUGUUAUAGGAAAACUUAGCCAACGGUAAAUACGUGUCCCAACUUCCUCCAAAGUCCAACACACAUGCUCAAAGCAUGUCCUCGAGCGUCAAAAUUGUCCGCUCACUCUGUCCGUCCGUCUGUGGGUGGUAAGAGGUACUGAAAUGCAGCCUCGUGCCCAACUCCUCAUGGAACUUCUUCGAAAACCUGGAAGUGAAACGUACAUCUCGAUCUGACACAAUCGAUAUCGGUACUCCAUGCCACGAUAUCACCUCCCUCACAUACAACUCUUCCAGUCUCUCUUUUGAAAAGCUCUCACUAAUAGCAAGGAAGGGAGCGCUCUUCGUCAGUCGGUAGAUGAUCACCCAAAUUGCAUCGACACCCCUCGCGGUACUUGGCAAUUUGGUGAUAAAGUCCAUAGAAAUUUGUUCCCACUUCCACUGGGGAACCUCAAGUGGCUGCAACUUGCCAUGAGGACGCUGGUGCUCGGCCUUAUCCCUGAGAUAGGUCAAGCACCUCUUAACGAACCACGCAACAUCCCUCUUCAUACAUGGCCACCAAUAGUCUCUUUCAGGUCCAAAUACAUCUUAGUGGCCCCGGGAUGGAUCAAGAAUCUCGACUUGUGCGCCUCCUCCAUCAGAAUGGUACGUGCCCCGCCCGCAAACGACACCCAAAUCCGACCCUAAAAGGUCAUAAGCCCUCGGCUAUCGGUAACGAACUCAGAUACCUGCCCGAUCACCCGCUCUCUCUUGCUGUUCUCCGGUCUCACGGCCUCUGCCUGGGCCUCCCGAAUGGUGUCCAACACCGGAGUCAUCACCGUCAUCCUCAUACAAACGCCUCAUAUCGGGGUAAUCUCCGCCCUACGGCUCAGGGCAUCGGCUACAACGUUAGCCUUUCCCGGGUGGUACAGGAUCUCACAAUCAUAAUCCUUUACCACAUCCAACCAUCUCCUUUGGCUCAUAUUCAGGUUGGGCUGAUCCAUCAAAUACUUCAAGCUCUUGUGGUCCGUGUAUAUGGUACACUGAACCCCGUACAAAUAGUGACGCCAGAUCUUGAGGGCGAACACCACUCCCCCACAACUACAGAUCGUGGGUGGGAUACCUCGUCUCAUGAGGCUUCAGCUGCCUUGAUGCGUAUGCUAUCACGUGCCCUCUCUACAUCAGCACCGCACCUAACCCCGAUAUCGAUGCGUCAGAAUACACCAAAAAAUCCUCCAUCCCCUCCGGAAGGGAUAACACCAGGGCUUCGCAUAACCUCUAGCAAAGUGUCUCGAAUGAGGCCAGCUGCUCAGGACCCCAACUAAAAGCCACGCCCUUCCGGGUGAACCUGGUGAGAGGAACGACAAUCUUGGAGAAGUCCCUGAUAAAUCUCCGAUAAUAGCCAGCCAACCCCAAAAAACUCUUGAUCUCGGUGGGGGAUCUUGGCACCUCCCAAAUCAUCACAACCUCAAUCUUGGCCAGAUCGACCAAUAUCCCAUUCUGGUUGACGAGAUGCCCAAAGAACUGGACCUAUUGUAACCAGAAAUUGCACUUGGAGAAUUUGGCGUAAAGCCUCUCCGAUCUCAAAACUCUGAGGAUCUCCCUCAAAUGCUCUUCAUGCUGCUCUCUAGAUCUCGAAUACACCAAUAUAUCAUCGAUGAACACGAUCACCGAACGAUCCAACAUCGGCCUGUACACCCUGUUCAUGAGAUCCAUGAAUGCCGCCGGUGCAUUGGUGAGCCCAAAAGGCAUCACCACGAACUCGCAAUGCCCAUAACGAGUUCUGAACGUCGUCUUCUGGAUAUCCUUAUCCCACACUCUCAUCUGAUGAUAUCCAAACCUCAAAUCAAUCUUGGAGAACCAAGACGCUCCCUGCAACUGAUUGAAUAGACCAUCGAUCCUCGGUAAGGGGUAACGGUUCUUGACCGUCAACUUAUUCAACUCCCGGUAAUCAAUGCACAUCUGGUGUGAACCAUCCUUUUUCUUGACAAAAAGGAUCGGCGCUCCCCACGGCAAGCUACUCGGUCGAAUAAAUCCCUUCCCCAACAGCUCCUGAAGCUGCGAGGAUAACUCCUGCAUCUCUGGCGGCGCAAGGCGAUAGGGUGCCUUGGCAAUAGGUGCCGCUCCCGGAACUAAAUCGAUGCGAAAAUCCACUUGCCUCUCGGGAGGCACACCCGGCAACUCCUCGGGGAAAACGUCUGGGAACUCUCGCACUAUCUGUACAUCAUCGAACGAAUUCAACCUCUCCACGGCCACUCGUGUGUCCACCACAUAGGCCACAAACCUACUACAGCCCUGCUGCAGACUCUGCCUCGCUCUAGCAGCCGAACAGAACGUUGACCCGGAAUGGGUACCCUCGUCGUACACCGUAAGAACUCCCCCACUAGGUUCUCGUAUGGUCACCAGUUGUCGCUCGCAGUCGAUAACUGCUCCAAAUCUGCUCAGCCAGUCCAUGCCCACGAUGAUACAGACAUCCCCUGUAACGCCCGUAGAUUAGGGCUAGUCAAUUUAGAGACGAUAAGCAUCAAAAAUGAAUUUUUGAUGGAAGAUUAUUUAGAAGGAUUAAUCUUAACCAAGUUGUAGUAUAUGUCACAAGGUUUCCGUGCAUAUAAAGAACGCCAAAAUCCGAGUUAUAACGAAGAAGUUAUGACCUGUCGAAGUUUCGCGACAGAACCGGCACGACCCAGUGCGACGUAAAUAGUGAACUUAAGGUAGAUAGAUGUCUAUCCUUAGUGAUCUAAACAAGAUUUGAAGACUUCUUCGAUAGUAGUCCAACGAUAAAAAGACAGACAAAAACGGAGUUCAGAUGAAGGAGUUAUGAAUUUCGAACGGAGUUUUCCUGUCCCGGCUUACUAAAGAUAAUAUAUAAGUAAUAUAAUUAUAGUAUAUUAAAAAUAAAGUCAAAAUUAGCCAAUGGAGUCGAAACGAGAGUUGUAGAGCAUAAUCUCACCUUCGCGUCGAUAUAAAGAACGUCGAAAACGGAGUUCGUAUGCGAAAGUUAUGAAUUUCAGAAGUUCAGGGCACGAAACCCCAAAAAUGUUAGAGACCACGAUGUGGCAAGCAGUGCCACGACGUGGCAAGUCUCCUGACACCUCCGGGAGUCCCCCAGAUGCAACUUGCAAUGACGUAUGCAAUGACGACCAAGCCCACGACGUGGAAAAAGGAUCCCACGACGUGGCAAGGGCCAAAUGUGCCCUAUAAAUAGAUUUGAAGGGCCAGCCGACUAUGGUUGCUCCAUCCCUUCUCUCCCACUCCCGAUACACCCUCUAAGCCCUAUUUUAACCCCCCGAAGCCCCGGUAUCAACCCCGAGACCCGAAGCAAGUCCCGAAGCCCCAAGAUCCCGAGAAGAAAAGAGUUUCCGAGCCGAAGCUCUGCCCGCGAGAAACCCGGUGUGUGAAGUGAUCCCGGUUUCACCGAAGAAUAUCUACUUGAAGAGCCGUAGUGCUGUCCGAUCAUCUUCUGAUCAAGUGAGUGUAUAGUCCCUUUCAUAAACACGAUUAUAAUACAAGUAUUGUUUGAAUGUAUUAAGUAUAUGUUUGGUGUGAGUGUAUAGUCACUUUCAUCUUACACAUAGAUAUGAAGUAUUUUAUAAAAUACGUGCUAUGUGUAUAUAUAUAGUUGUUUAUAUGUGUGAGUGUGUGGUCACUUUCUUCUAACACAUAAAUAUUAAGUAUUUGCUAUGAAAUACGUGCUAUGUGUUUAUAUAUUGUUGUUUAUUUGAGAUGUUGGUGGAAUACAUGAACUAUAUAGGUUUUAAUGAGUUAAACUGUAUAUUUAUUUUGUAACUACAAAUAUGUUGGGUAGGACAUGGGUAGAUGAGAUCCGUGAGUAUGGAUCAGAUCAAGAGGUUAGUUUUAGAUCCGUGAGUAGGGAUCAGAUCAAGAGGUUAGUUUUAGAUCCGUGAGUAUGGAUCAGGUAAAGAGAUAAACUUGCUAUUAGUCCGGGAGUAUGGAUUAAGACUAAGUUAAUUGUCCCUAGUCCGGGAGUAUGGAUUGGGCACAGUUAUAGAUCCGGGAGUAUGGAUCAGAUAAGGAUUAAGAUUAAGAUAAUUGUCCCUAGUCCGGGAGUAUGGAUUGGGCACAGUUAUAGAUCCGGGAGUAUGGAUCAGAUCAGGAUUAAGGUAUAGUUAAUUGUCCCUAUUCCGGGAGUAUGGAUUGGGUACAAUUAUUGAUCCGGGAGUAUGGAUCAGAUCAGGAGGUUAGUUUUAGAUCCGUGAGUAUGGAUCAGGUAGUUUUAGAUCCGUGAGUAUGGAUCAGGUGAAAAGGUUAGUUUUAGAUCCGUGAGUAUGGAUCGGGUGAAGAGGAUAGUUUUAGAUCCGUGAGUAAGGAUCAGGUAAAGAGGUAAAUUUUAGAUACGAGAGUUUAGAUCGUGUCGUUGUGAGGAUCGAUGGGGUGGGAUAAGAGUUGCCUUUAUAUGGUGAAAUUGUACAAGUUUGAAUGUUCUAUAUUUAUAAAUAUAUGAUAUAACAUUGUGGGAUGAAAACCCUAUAUGCUCACCAGGCUCCCAAGCCUGACCCACUCAGUUUUCUUUGUAUCACAGGUAUCAAUACGAAGACAUAUUUCACAGAGAGAUUUAAAGGAGAUAUAAAUCAAUUGUGUAAUUAAAUGUAAGUUCUGUUUAUGCUUAUAUGUCUGUAUCGGAACAUGACAUCCCGAGGUUUUAUUAUUAAAUGAAAAUAAAUUCUCUUUGAGAAAUGUUUUGAUAAGUUAUUAUCAUAUUUUGUUUUGGGAACAAAUUCCGCAACCGUUUUCUUUAAAAGAUUACUCUGAUUUUAUAAAACAAAGCAUAAACAAAUCGGUCUUUUCUGGCCGUGAAAAUGGGGAUGUCACAGUUGGUAUCAGAGCAUUAGUUUAAGCGAACUAGGAAUUUGUAGGAAAUUUCUAGACUUAAACUUAGAAUGCUAAGUAAUGAUUGUGAGGAGUGUGUCUAAAAUAUGUUAGGUAGUACACCUAAAUUGACACAAGCACUAGUUCAUUUUAGGAAUGAUGCCUAAAAUGCUUUUAUGUGCUAAAUGUUUUGUGUGAUAGCUAUAUUGAUGCUAUUAUUUGUUCGGAUCUAUGGUCUGUUGCCGACCGGAUCUGGAAACCUUAUGUGUUUAGGAUUCUAAGCGUAUGACUACGAUAUUAGAACUAGCAUGUAAACGUUUCGGAGUGAUAAGGAGAUUUAUACGUUUAUCGUAAUUAAAGCUUUCUUAUCUUAAAAUUCUCGCUUGGUACACCGAAUGUCUGCUUGGAUGUACAAGAGGUCAUGGUGAAGACUCGUAGAGAAAUUGAGUAAAUGGAGGAAAUGAAGAAGGCUUAUGAUAGUGGAUGACACCUAUCAGAAGAUAUCAUAAGCGUGGUAUCUUGCCUUUACAGUAUGUCUUAUGAAAUAAAAGUACGUUUAGAGGAGUACGGUACGUCUGAAGUACACCUUCGAUUGGCAGGAUGAUGGAACGAUUGGUGAAAUUCUCGAAGUUGUCUCAUCGUCUUGUAUUUCCAUCACCAAUCGAGUUGAAGUAGAGUUGAUGAUUGAAGAUUGAGCAAUGAAGAAGUCCUAGUAGAGUCUAGGGAAAUUGUUUAUGAUUAUUUGGACACAUUCGUAUGUGUUAAAUUGUUUUGUGAUUUUCUUGUAUGGUGACUUGGUCGACUGCGGGACAAUACUUGGGACGAGUAUGAGUAGGUGUGAAAGGUAGUAGAUGCAUAUACUACCGGAAGCACAGGACUCACACUUGGAUCAGGGAAAGUCACAAGGUUACCAAGAAGCUAGUGAUUGAUUCCGUUUUAUUCGGAUAUGUCAUUACCCUUGUUUCGGUAAUUACUAGUAAGAUGGUUGUUAUGCCGACCCUAGUGGUCAUAUCAAAUUGAGUCCGAAUACGAUGAGUUUGUUAUGUGGUUCAUAGAACCAAGUUCGAGGUAGCAUCUGACUCAAGUCAGAAGAUUGAAAUUAAUGUGAUCGAUAGCAUCACGCUCGUUGUUAAUGAAGCUUGUAGCUAGAAAUGCUACAUGUUGAAAUGUGAUUAUAUCACAUUAGAAUAUGAAGGAAGGUAUAUUCCAUUUUGGAAUUUGACUCUAAGAGACUUGAGUCAAAGCGUUGCAUCAUGUGAUGAGAGGUCAUCAGGACACGACUCAUCGGUCUGUUACAAUAGAUAAAGGAAUGUACUUAUCCUAAGAAGAAAGAAUCCUCAAAAAGGAUUUGUUUUGUAUCUCGAAGGUUAUGAUUGAAAGUCCAACAUAGUACGAAGAGAAGAUGAAGGAUUGAGCAUCAUGGUUAUUAAUUAGGAUGGAGAGAUAAUGUAUGGAGUCAGUAUACAAAUCCUGUUUCGUUGAUGAUUCCGGGACGUAAUCAUCCUAAGGGGGAGAUAAUUGUAACGCCCGUAGAUUAGAGCUAGUCAAUUUAGAGACGAUAAGCAUCAAAAAUGAAUUUUUGAUGGAAGAUUAUUUAGAAGGAUUAAUCUUAACCAAGUUGUAGUAUAUGUCACAAGGUUUCCGUGCAUAUAAAGAAUGCCCAAAUGCGAGUUAUAACGAAGAAGUUAUGACCUGUCGAAGUUUCGCAACAGAACCGGCACUACCCAGCGCGACGUAAAUAGUGAACUUAAGNCUAAAUGAGAAUUGAAGAUCUCAUCGAUAGUAGUGCAACGACGGAAAGACAGACGGAAUCGGAGUUCAGAUGAAGGAGUUAUGAAUUUCGAACGGAGUUUUCCUGUCCCGGCCUACUAAAGAUAAUAUAUAAGUAAUAUACUUAUAAUAUAUUAAAAAUAAAGUCAAAAUUAGCCAAUGGAGUCUAAACGAGAGUUGUAGAGCAUAAUCUCACCUUCGCGUCGAUAUAAAGAACGUCGAAAACGGAGUUCGUAUGCGAAAGUUAUGAAUUUCAGAAGUUCAGGGCGCGAAACCCCAAAACUGUUAGAGACCACGACGUGGCAAGCAGUGCCACGACGUGGCAAGUCUCCUGACACCUCCGGGAGUCCCCCAAAUGCAACUUGUAAUGACGUAUGCAAUGAAGACCAAGCCCACGACUUGGAAAAAGGAUCCCACGACGUGGCAAGGGCCAAAUUUGCCCUAUAAAUAGAUUUGAAGGGUCAGCCGACUAUGGUUGCUCCAUCCCUUCUCUCCCACUCCUGAUACACCCUCUAAGACCUAUUUUAACCUCCCGAAUCCCCGGUAUCAACCCCGAGACCCGAAGCAAGUUCUGAAACCCAAAGAUCCCGAGAAGAAAAGAGUUUCCGAGCCGAAGCUCUGCCCGCGAGAAACCCGGUGUGUGAAGUGAUCCCGGUUUCACCGAAGAAUAUCUACUUGAAGAGCCGUAGUGCUAUCCGAUCAUCUUCUGAUCAAGUGAGUGUAUAGUCCCUUUCAUAAACACGAUUAUAAUACAAGUAUUGUUUGAAUGUAUUAAGUAUAUGUUUGGUGUGAGUGUAUAGUCACUUUCAUCUUACACAUAGAUAUGAAGUAUUUUAUAAAAUACGUGCUAUGUGUAUAUAUAUUGUUGUUUAUAUGUGAGUGUGUGGUUACUUUCUUCUAACACAUAAAUAUUAAGUAUUUGUUAUGAAAUACGUGCUAUGUGUUUAUAUAUUGUUUGUUUAUUUGAGAUGAGUAUGGAAUGGAUGAACUAUAUAGGUUUUAAUGAGUUAAACUGUAUAUAUAUUUUGUAUCUACAAAUAUGUUGGGUAGGACAUGGGUAGAUGAGAUCCGUGAGUAUGGAUCAGAUCAAGAGGUUAGUUUUAUAUCCGUGAGUAUAGAUUAGAUCAAGAGAUUGGAUUUAGAUCCGAGAAUAUGGAAUAGGAAAAGAGAUAAACUUGUUAUUAAUCUGGGAGGAUGGAUUAAGACAUAGUAAAUUGUCCCUAGUCCGGGAGUAUGGAUUGGGCACAGUUUAGAUCCGGGAGUAUGGAUCAGAACAUGAUUUAGGUAUAGUAAAUUGUCCCUAGUCCGGGAGUAUGGAUUGGGCACAGUUUUAGAUCCGGGAGUAUGGAUCAGACCAAUAGGUAAACUUGUUAUUAAUCCAGGAGUAUGGAUUAAGACAUAGUUAAUUGUCCCUAGUCCGGGAGUAUGGAUUGGGCACAGUUUUAGAUCCGGGAGUAUGGAUCAGACCAAGAGAUUAGUUUAGAUCCGGGAGUAUGGAUUAGACCAAUAGGUUAGUUUUAGGUCCGAGAGUGUGGAUCGGGUGGAGAGAUUAAUUUAGAUCCGUGAGUAGGGAUCAGAUAAAGAGGAACAGUUUAGAUACGAGAGUUUAGAUCGUGUCGUUGUGAGGAUCGAUGGGGUGGGAUAAGAGUUGCCUUUAUAUGGUGAAAAUGUACAAGUUUGAAUGUUCUAUAUUUAUAAAUAUAUGAUAUAACAUUGUGGGAUGAAAACCCUAUAUGCUCACCAGGCUCCCAAGCCUGACCCACUCAGUUUUCUUUGUAUCACAGGUAUCGAUACGAAGAUAUAUUUCACAGAGAGAUUAAAGGAGAUGUAAAAUCUUUAGUGUAAAUAAUGUAAGUUCUGUUUAUGNAUGUCUGUAUCGGAACAUUACAUCCCGAGGUUUUAUUAUUAAAUGAAAAUACAUUCUCUUUGAGAAAUGUUUUGAUAAGUUAUUAUCAUAUCUUGUUUUGGGAACAAAUUCCGCAACCGUUUUCUUUAAAAUAUUACUCUGAUUUUAAAAACAAAGCAUAAACAAAUCGGUCUUUUCUGGCCGUGAAAUUGGGGAUGUCACAUCCCCCAUCGCAAUCGGAACCAGAUCAAUCGGGAACUCAACACCGAAGAUCUCGAGUACACCUCCUCGAAUCACAUCAGUGGCAUACAUCGCUUGCUCUUCAGCUAUGGAAACUUGAAGAGGUCGACUCAACGCCUCUCGAUAGAUACUGAUGUGCUGACUAAAUGCUAAAGACACGAAAGAUCGAGUCGCAGCCGAGUCAAAUAACACCAAAGCAGGUACUGAACUCACAAGAAAAGUACUUAUGUCAUAAUAUAAGCACAAUGUCUCAAACUCAAAAUAAAUAGAUGAAAGCGUACAUACCAGCCACGAGAUCGGGUGCUGCGCGGACCUCCUCCGCUGUCAAAUGGAAGGCUCUCUCGCGAGCCUUUAGUGCCUCGGCCUUCACUGGCCGGGUCUUGGUAGCUCUGGCAGCAGGUGCAGAUCCCUGCAGCAGCUGUGGGCACUCGGCCUUCCGAGAAUCCCUUGGGGCAAUCCCUCGCAAAAUGCCCCUCCUUCCCACACUUGUAACAUACCCCGACUCUGCACACCCCCUCAUGGCUCUUGCCGCACCUCCCACAAGUGCGGCCCUUCGGACCCCCAGAUCUCGAAUCAACGGGCUUUGCCCGCUUGGCUGCCGGCUGAGCCUGCGCCGAUCGCCUAUCCCUCAUCUGAGACUCGACCUCCUCCCUGACCUGAGUCUCCAACUCAAUCUCCCGCUUCCGGGCAUUUCCUGGAGCUCAGAAAAUGUCUGGUAUGACGAGUGCGCCACGAACUCACGAAUAUCCCUCCUUAGUAUGCUCAAGUACCGGCUCAUACGUGCCUACUCAGAAGACACGUGCUUAGGGAAAAACAACGCCCUCUCAUGAAACAUCCUCGUAAUCACUGUCACAGACUCAGUUCCCUACUUGAGGGACAAGAACUCUUGGGCUAGACGUUCGCUCUCCACAGGGGGAAUAUACUCAUCUCGAAACAUCGCGGUGAACCUCUCCCAGGUUACCGCAGUAAGCUCUGUAGUAGUGAAGUCCUCCGUCACAAACUUCCACCAGUCCUUCGCCCUCAAGUGAAGUCCUCCGAACCCUCAAAUGCUUCGGACACGAGCAGGUGUAGAAGCAUCCCUCGAUAUCAGAAAUCCAUCUCAUCGCAGCAAUCGGAUCCUGCGUCCCAUCGAACUCUGGUGGCUUGGUGUUGCUGAACUCCCGGUACAACAUCGAGUCACCCCCUGAGGUUUCGCAGCAGCCACAUCCGCAGUAGCUGUAGCAGCUGCAACCUCAGUAACCACUGCUUAUCUCUCGUCAAACGUCUCAAUCAAGGUGGUCUUGAUAAACCCAAACAUCUCCGGUAUCUCUGCGCGGAUAGCCGCCGCCACCUCAUCAUGGAUCAUCUGACGAAGCUCCUCGUCACUCACGCCGCUCGUCUCAGGUCUGUGGCAUGUCCCAACCAUGAUGUCUCUGAAAUACAACAUAAAAAUAUCAGAGACUCGCUCGAGUAUACUCGCACCUGAUAACUCAACCCUACUUGUUCCUUAGCACCCUAAGGAUUCUUACUUGGACUGUGCAAUGAUCCGGUGUCUUCAGUAGUACGGAACCUAUACUACCGUCCACACCGCAACAGUAUUCACCCCAAGUCCUCCUCCUAGGAUCCCAUAUCACAAGUACUCUAAUCUCGCUAUGCAUAGGCUACUCUGCAGCAGACCUCUCGUAAGCUCCUCGUUGCAACCUACUCACUCUCAAGCAUCUCAUAGUAGCAGUAAUCUCCUAGUCUAAGGCAUCACAAAUCAGGACACUCUAGUCCUAAUAUAAAUACCUAGCCUACUCUAGCAUGCAUAACAUAUCAUAUCAUAUCUCAUAACACAUAAUAUGAGGGUAUUUUGGGAAAUCACCGUUCUGGCGCUGGUUGAUCGUACACACUGCUCUGUUCUGCUCGUUUCAAAACCUUUUAUUCUUUUAGAAAAAUUGUUUUACUGUGAAAACUUUCUCAAACCCUCAGUUUGAGUUCAGAUACGUCCGAAGGUGCAUCCGAAUCCCUCAAACCAAGGCUCUGAUACCAACUUGUAACAACGUAAAUUUUCAAAAUAAUUUUUCCAUUUCAAAAUAUAAUAAGAAUUCAUAUAUAAUAUCAAAAUCCGUGUAUCAACAUCAUCUCAAUAAACAAAUCCCAAGAUCUCAAUGUAAAUAAAACUCCAUCUGUGUGUACGGUCAUGCCGACGCCUUCUCGCGAUCCUCACUGGUACCUGAAACACAUAACACACAACACGGUAAGCAUAAGUGCUUAGUGAGUUCCCCAAAAUACCACAUAUAACACAUACGCCACUCGAGGCUACCGUACGACCCUCCGGUCGAUGUGUCUCAGCGGGACCCUCCCGUCCCGUAGCUCGUUGGGCCCUCUAGUCCGGUCAUAGCUCAUUGGACCCUUCGGUCCGGUCUAUAUCGUUGGACCCUUCGGUCCGGUCUAUAUCGUUGGACCCUCCGGUCCGAUCUAUAUAACACAUAGCAUACAUAUAUCACAAUGCACAUAAUCUCAUACAUACACAUAGCACACAAGACCCUCCGGUAUACACAUAGAUACCACUCUAGGUAAUGUAUAGUGAGAAGACUCACCUCGAGUAACUCGGAUAAUCUCGCACACGAAUAUGUUGAUCUAGCCCCCGCCUAAUCACAUAUCAAUAUCCUCAAAUAAAUAAUGGCUCUCAAAGGCUAGAUUAAAUCCCUUCCUACAAUCCCACAGAAGGGUAAAAGACUAUUUUACCCCUCCUUGACCCAAAAGUCCAAAUGUUGACUAAAAUCCUAAAAGUCAACAGGGGCAGUACGCGGGGCGUACCAACUCGUGUACGCGGGGUGUAAUCCGGCUAACCAGAAUCGGGGGACAAGACCCAUUACGCGACGCGUAAUGGGAUUACGCCCAACGUAAGUCCCAGUUACCCAUUCUCAAAAGUUUUGGUCUGAAUCGAUUAAGACAAUGGUUCAUAUCAUAGAUCUAGGCACUCUACUUCCUCCUAAACCAUAAAGUCGAAACCUUUAGGCUUUUGCAUGGCUAAAAAGGUUACAACUUCUUCCAACCUCUUAUCCCUUUUCUUCGUUAAGACGAAAACCCAUGCAUGACUCCAUAAUGACGACCAAGAUUGGAUUUUUAUGAACCUACAACUCAUAUUACUCUGAAAUAUGGCAGAUCUAAGAUUAUGGAGACCAUUUGCUCAGAAAGUCUCCAUCUUGGGACCAAAAACCCUAAAAAUUGGUCCAUGAAGCACACAACAAAAAUGACAAGGAAAGCUUUGAGCUUUUUACCUCAAAGUGAAGCUCCUCCUUCUGUAGAACUCAGAUCCAAGCUUGUACUCCAACUUCUAGCCUCCACAAGAACCUCCUCUUCUUCUUCACUAACACAGAAAGGAACUUUCUAGCUCAAGAACACUCACACACUAGCUUUAGAAUGAUAAUAUUGCUUUCCUAGGGUUUUUCUCUGUGGAAUGGUGGCUAGGGACAAGACCAUAUCAUUCCUUUUAUAGUCCACAAGCCACAAUUAGGGUUUGCAUCUGGGCCCACUACGCCCAUCGUAACCCUGGGUAUGCCCAGCGUACCUAGGCGAGUCCGUGUCCAAACUAAGCAUAUGAGUACACGCAACGUACUCUUCAGUACGCCCAGCGUACUUAAUGGCCAUAUUUUUCCAUUAGGGGCUAAACUUGACAACUUGGAAAGGAAGAAGGGUUAAAUAAAUAUACCUGAAUUCCGGGAUGUUACAGUAAUGCAAGUUUCCAUCCUUAGAUUUCCUAGGAAUACAUGUAAUUUUGAAAAUCUCCAACAUAAUGUUGGUGAGAUCACAUGUUUUUACUUAGGUAUUUUAAAGUUUCUCUUCUUGAUGAGAUUUUACUGAAUUUUUUUAUUAGUUAUGGGAAAAGCACUCGUGAUUAGAAUGUAAAAUAAAGCUAUAAACUAUCACACCCCCUUAGUUUGAUCAUGGGGUUUACAAAUGUUCAGACUAUGUUUAAAGUCUAAAAAUAGCUUAGUAGGAAGGCCUUUAGUAUGUAUAUCUGAAAACUGGUGAGCUGAUGGCACAUGCAAAACAAACACAUGUCCAAUAGAAACACAUUCCCUAACAAAGUGUAAGUCUAUUUCUACAUGCUUGGUACGUUGACACUGUACAAGGUUCGAAGAUAAGCACAUGGAAAUUACGUUAUCGCAAAACAAAACCGUUGCUUUAUACAAUGUACAUGAUAACUCAAGAAGAAGAUUGUAAAGCAAAGAAGCUUCAACAACAACAUUGGCCUCCCCACGGUACUCAGCCUCAUCUGAGGAGCGCAAAACAACAUGCUGAUGGUUGGAAGACCAAGAGACAAGGUAAUGUGCAAGAUAGACAUACAAAUUAAAGUGGAGCGAUGAGUGUGAGGGAAACCAACCCAAUCAGCAUCAGAGUAAGAAACCAAAUAAUCAGCUGAAGAAGGUCGCAAAAGAAUACCAUGAGAAAGCGUACCUUGAACAUAGUGCAAGAUACGUUUUAAAGCAAAGAUAUGAGGUUCACGAGGAUCAUGUAUAAACAAGCAUGUCUGUUGAACAACAUAGGGGAUAUCGAGACGAGUAAACGUGAGAUACUGCAAUGUACCGGCAAGACUGUGAUACAUAGUAGGAUCAGAGAUAGGAGAUCCAUAUGGAGAGAGUUUGUAUUGGGUGUCGGAGGGACUGGUGCACGAAUUACAGUUAGACAUGUCAGCUCGAGUAAGAAUGCCUUUAGCGAAGGAAGUCUGGGAUAAGAAGAGACCCUUAUUAUGGCAGGCCGCAAAAAUGCCAAGGAAGAAGGAGAGAGGACCAAGAUUAGACCUAGGACAUUCAAAAAAGAGGCGAUAGAUGACCCUAUUGAUCAGGGUAACGGAAGAAUCAGUGCGAAUGAUGUCCUGAACAUCGAGGAGAAGAUAGACAUGAUCAGUGCCAGAGUGAUAGGUAAAGAGAGAAAAUUCAUACUUAAUGUUGAAAGACCAUAAUGGAAUACUGUGCAGUCAAGCCAGGCCAUUCCCUUUGGACUAGAAGUACCGGAAAAUGUUUAAACUACAAAAUCGCAGUGUUCUAGAAAUCGGCCUAAUCGGCCGAUUAAUCGCUAAUCGGACCUCCACCAAUGAGAUUUAUUGCUAAUCAGUCACUAUAGUUGGGUUUGGUCAAUACAGGUCAAAUUCGGUAUUAAUUAGACCUAAUCAGACCAAAUCGGGCCUAAUCGGACUUAAUCGGACCUAUUCGUGUUUGGUCAAUGUAGGUCAAAGUUAGACCUAAUCGGACCUAAUCACCGAUUAAUUGCUUAUUUUUUUAGGAUUAAUGUUAGAUUUAUUAAUUUUUGAAUAAUUUUCUUAAUAAUUAAUGGUCCCCGAUUAAUCCCCGCCUAGCCGAUUAAUCCCUAAUUGCUAGUCCACCGAUUAGUGGCCAAUUAGCGAUUUCUGCAACCAUGUAAAAUCGUAAGCACAAAGCUUAGAGAGUUCCCUAAAAUACUACAUACCAUACAAACAUCAGGCCCACCCACACAUCGGGCCCCACUCAACAUAGAAAUGGGACCAACCCAUCAUAUAAACGGGCCUAACCCAACAUAUAAACGGGCCCAACCCAACAUACAAACAAGCCCAACCCUGCAUACCAAUGCAAGAUUCACAAAUACAACUAGCAUUCUACAUAGUAUACUGAGAAAACUCACCUUGCCGAUGUAAUCAAUUGCUAAUAACUCUCAUAGCAAAUGAACGGGUGCUACACACCUCCUAACAUUCUACACAGUAGGGUUUUUAGGGCAUGCACAUCGCUUUUCAAGGUGCAUGUCUGCACCAACACAUUGCCCCACAUAUAGGACGACACAUGUCACUCCUUCGCUGUUCCACGUCUCCCAAAUCUCAGUGAAUCUGAUCUCCUGAAACGCACGAUACACGUAACGCGCAUGAUGCACCCUUACUUUGUUCAAUUAUGUAAAUUACAUAUCUUCCGAGAAUGAGCUCCGUUUCCGAUGAUCUUUAUAUUCUCGUGUAGCCAUCAAUGAGUACUACAGCUUUCUUUUAGGUUGCAUUAGCAAAUAUUGACUUUGGUUUUACCCCGUAUUUUUAUACCUUAACUGACUUUGCAAAAAAUCAUAUCUUCCUCUUACGGGAUCUGUUUUUGACGUUCCUUGUCUCUUCGGUUUUAUAACUAGGAGUACUUUGAUUCCCCUUCACAUAGUUUUUGCUAAACUAGCGUACCUUUUAAACAAAUCAAAGAGGCCCUUCAUAACUUCUUAUCAAGUUGAUGAUUGUAAUUCAACGAGAAACCACAUUGAUACUUCACGUUCUCUCUUGACUUUGAAGGAAGAGGAAAUUUUCACAGGAUCACUAUGCUUUUAUAUCAAAAUUUAUUUUUGAUAUUGCAAAUUCCUAUAAUUUUUGUUUGGUUAUAUAUAUUUUAUCGGAACACUCGUUCACUUAAAAUCCUCAAGGUCUCAAGUAAAACCAACUUGAACCAAGAUUUUAGAAACUAUGGUUUAUGAUUCUAAUCAUUAUUACCAUGGUUUUGGUGAGACUCUUCUUUACCCUAUUCUCUUAUGAAAAGGAAUUUUAUUAAGGUAACACUCAUCAUAAUUCCAAUGGAUACUAUUUCAAUAUAUGCAAUAUUGAAGGGUGGACUUACUGCUUACAAAACUACUAUAAACCGAAAUGGCAUGUUGCUAUGUUACGAACAAAUCUUUUAUGCAUCUUAUGCGAAGACUUCUUUGUGAACGUACUGGAAGACAAUUUUUUUUUAUUCCAUUGAAAAAUGUUGAGUUGAUAAGUUUUGAUUGGACCUUCUUUAACGUGAUGAUAGGUGUGGUACUCAAGACAGAUGUGGGAUUGGAUGGGUAAUUAUGACAUGUAUUUGGCAGUUUUCUCUUUCCUAGAAUCCUAUACUUUUCAAAUUCAAAAAUAACGUUUGCUAUUCCACUACAUAUAAUUACCCAAAUUGCACACAAUUAAUCUCUUUACACAUUUAGACGAUUCAAGAGCGUUGCAAAGGAUUUCUUCAUUCUUCAAUUUUCUAUGUGCUUUUAAAUCGAUUCAGAAAUAAAGUCGUCUACUGAUCAUAUUUCCUUCAUUGAUCAAUCUGCUUUAUUUGCUUAUCUCAUUUUUAAACAUUAUGAAAAUAUGAUUGAUGAUCUCGAUGCUUUUAAGUAUUUAACUGUUGUUCAACCGAUAACUGAAUGUAUGAAUCAUUCAACUUUGAAAAGGGAAUUGACUCAUCAUGAAAAUGUUCCUUUUUCUUCUUUAAUUUUAGCAUAUACUACUGCAAGUUAUAAUAAGAAGAUGGAUGUAAUGACCUUGAGGUUCAACGGUGCAACACUACAAUUAAUAAGCAUGCUUUUUUGCAUGUUGCUAGGGUUGAAAACUGAUAAUGCGUAUAUAAACGAUGAAUUGGUUUCUUUAUCGAGUAUUAUUAGGGUUUAUCAUCAGAUGGGGUACAAAGAAUAUUUUUUUUAUGUUGUCGAAGUUCAAGAAGUCUUUUCUGCCACUAGUUUGGAAUGUCCUUUUUAAAAUGUUGUUCCGAUGCUUUACAGAAAGGGUAAGCGGUUCAAAUAAUGCUAACAAGUUAUUCCACACUCUGAUAUAUAUACUCUUUGUAUACAAACGAGAAGGUUGAAUUAGGUAAAAUUCUCUAUGUUCAUUUUAGCCAAAGUCCUUCCUCAUCGUCGAAGGAUUCAGACAUAUCUUGUGCAUAAUGUUUGUCUAUCAUAGUGAAAAAGGCUUGUGACCAUUUUAAAAUUCCUCAAAUGGCGGAUGUGCAAAUCACAAGGUUCCAAAUGAUGAAUACUGUUACGCUUAUCACCAUAUAUGUGAAGAACUUUCACUACAUUUGGGCUAUUCCAUAUGUGAUGUUAGAUAAAGUUCCACCGAAUAAUGAAAUUAUUGCAUUCUAUAGGCAGAUUUCCAAGCUUGGUGAAUUUCAUAUGUCACCAUCUAUGCAAGCUGCUUUAGAAGUUGGGAAUGUUCAAAGAUGAGAUGGUGGAAAUAGAAAAGAAAAAGUAGUUGAUGGUUAUUUUCUUUGAAAACAAAAGGCUUCAAAGAAACAUAAGAAAAAUAAAAAGGUGUCUGUAGUUGAUAAAGAUAACGAUGAUGAGAACACGAUUAGUGAUAUUCGUAUUGAGGAUGAUGUCAAUGAGGAUGAUACUACGAGAUUCUCAAAUCAUCUUACUGGUAUACAAUAUUAGACUACAAACACAGAGUCUUCACAUUUUAUUAAGCUAUUCGUUGUUUCUACGAACACUUAAACUUCUAUACAUGUUCAAAUUGAGAAUGAUAUUUUCUAAAAAUUAUGAAUGCGUCUAUUUUGAAUCUUUCUCAAAUUUAAUCACCAUCGGUUCAACCUCUAUCUCCACCACCAACAACUUCUUUAUCUCAAACCACUAUGAUUCCAAUUCUUGUUCCACCAGUGUCAUCUAUAAAAACCUCCAUUCCAUUCCAAUUCAAACUCUUAUUUUUUGUAGAACCUACUACUCCAACACAAACAUCAAAAAUUCCAAAUACCCAUACUCAAAGUAAUCCUGUUCCAGAUGUUACAAAACCAUCAGGCGAUGAUGAUGAUGAUGAGUUUGUAAUUGUUGAUGAUGAAGAAGUUGAAAUUACCGGUUCAUUUAAACAUAUUGUUGAACCGGUUCUUGCUCCAUCACUUUUGGAUGAUGAAAGUGAUUUGGAUGAAGUAUCUGUUUUUGCUCCAAUCACUAAGAAAGAAUAUCAAUUUUUGAAUAGGAAAUUGAAUGUUCUUUUUUGCAGAGCGGAUUCUUUUUCACCAAGCAAUUUUCAGAACAUGAUAACUGUGCAUGGAUCUUCAUAUUCUUCCUUAUAUCAAGCAUUUGUUUGAUGCUCAGUAAAAUUUGAUCAAUAAAACUACUGCAAAAGCUAAUGAAUCUCUUUCUAUAACUAACACAACUUUGGUUAACGUUGAUUAAUCUAUUCUCAUCGAGGUUUAAACUCUAAAAGCUUCAAUCGUUUCUAAAAUUUCUAGUAAUAAUCAAGUUGUUACUAAUGCCAUCAACACUCUUAUUUUGAACUAUGAUACUGAAGCCAAAAUGGAUGUUAUCAUUGCUGACAAAGAGAACAAGCUAAAGUCUCUGAAUUUAGAAUUAAGACAAGUGAAGAAUGAUUUUGAGAAGAAUGAUGAAGAAUUACUACUUGUCAAAGGGGAAAAACUUUAAAAUUAAUCAAAGAUUAAUUCAAAUUACAAAAGAGAAAGAUGCUUCUCAUGUCAAUUAUAUGUUUAAAAUGUUGGAUAUGAAGCUUAAUCCAAAUCUUUUGCAACUUCAAGCUAUUAAAGGUUUAGGAGUAGCGGACUACUUCACAAUAAGGGGAGAGGGUGUUAUUAAAAAAAUGUUGCUCAAGAAGAUAAUCCUCAAAUAAAUAUAAAAAAUAUAUAUGUUGUUCUUGCAAUAAUCAAGAAGGAUGAUGCUCCAAAUUACAAUUGAUCAUAGUGAUGGGUUAUAAGCAUAACUACAUCCUAUGUGUUCACGCAACCCUAAUUGCUUUGGUUCUAAGUUUUUCACUAGUUGAACACGCAUUUGAAUAACAAAGCAAUAAAACCUAGAUCUAGCAUAUAAUUUUCAAAAAUCAUAUAACAAACGGGUUUUGAGUUUACCUUGCUUAUUAUGUAGUAAUAACAAGAACUUCUGGUAGAUCCUUGACUCAUGAAAGCUUAGUGCCUCAAAUGUUGCUCCUCUAAUGACUCACAAACACCACUAGCAAGAAUAUGAGAAGGAGAGAGGAGGAAGCUCUUAGAAUUUUGGCUAGGGUUCUCUGGAAGCAAGCAUUGGCUGAAAAUCCUAAGACUAUGGGUUCCUUAUAUAGCUGAGGGAUGCUAGGGUUUCUGGAGGAAACCCUAAUUUCCUGCUUAAGGCUCAAGCAACCCAUGGACCUCCCACUAAGAAGCCUUGGACGAAAGCUAUAGGGCAUCCCACUAAAAUUUCGUCCACUCAUAAUUAAGGAGUCCAUCAGCCCUGUUUCACAACUAUCAAUGAUUUGCAAAACAACCCUUGUUCUUUUAAUCAGUUCCUUUAAUCCUAAAAUUAAUUCCAAAUUAAUUUGUGAUUAAAUACUAAUUAAAUAACAUGAUUUCUAAUUAGUAUAUUAUUUUCAUAAUACAUUAAUAUAUCAAAAGGACCAUGCUACUAUCAAAUUAACUACAUACCAAUUAACUAAGGUGAAGGCAACCUAAAAGGACCAUGCUACUAUCAAAUUAACUACAUACCAAUUAUAGUUAUGUGCUUAGACACCUAAUCCAACAGAUAGAUCAUUGAAAACGAGAUUGGAAGAGAUUACUCCUAAAAUUCCAAUCAACAUGGGAAGUGAUGCGGGAACAAGUUCUAUGAGAAUUGUUUAACAUAAUGAUGUUGAUCCAAAUGAUCCAGAAGCUGAAAAGAAGCUCAACUGAAAUAGGAUGAAGAAAUAUAAAGAAUGAAGCAAUUAAAGAUUGAGCUGAAAAACUAGAUGCUGAGAAAAACGAAAAGGAAUCAACUUAAGCUACUCUGAAAGCUUUGUGGCCAUAAGGACAGUUGAAAGAAUUCAAAAUGAAUCCAUUAAGAAUGUUGGAAAAUAUUGCCUAGAACCAAGAUCUUAUUUUGAAUUUGAAAAUACAAGCGGCUAUCAGUUAGAUCUUGCAAUGACUGGUAGAGCAUUUCUCUUUAGGAGUUUUCAACAUAUGAUUAGUGUUCCAUUAUCAAACAGUGCUACGAAUAAAAAGCUUUUCAAGUUUUAUGUUACUCAUUCACAGCCUCAAUAUGAAGUCUGGACUCUGAAGAAUAUUAGUGAUGUGAAGAAGAUUGAGGAAACAAUCAUUGUAAAACCAACCCCUUGAUAUAUUGUCUAGUUUCGAAAUGCAUGACUAAAACAACAUAUUUUGGUUUUUAUCCCACAAAAUGGUAUAAUAACUAGGUUACAACCAUUUUCGCUAGAAAUGUCAUAUUUUGUCAAAAGAAAACCUUAGUCUUUGUAGUUUUGUAAUUACAACUUUUUUUCAUGAAUAUAUAACAUAUUUUAUAUUUUGUUUUUCUUAGUUUUACAUCUCAAAACUAAGAUACCACAAAUAAGUGUUCUAAAAACUAGGGGCAACCAUAUUUCAUGCAAGUAAUGCUUUAUAUUCAACAUAGGAAUGGAACAUGCAAAAAUUUAUGUAAAUAUUCCCAAUAUUUAUUGGAUUCCCUCCCCCUCCCCCCUAAAACAUGGAAAACUGGAAAAUAUGGGGGGUAUGAACUCACCUUGAGUGUGUUUUGUUAGGUUUUGUAUACUAAAACAUCUUACGGUGCACAUAUAACCCUAAAUGCCUUGGAUCUAUGUUUUCUCUAAUUAUACAUGUAAUAGUGUUUCAAAGCAUUAAGCCUAUAACUAGCAUGCAAAUGACAUAAACAAUAUGAAAUACUAGUUAGGGUGACAUACCUUUUCUUGUGGCUUGAAAACCUUGAAGCUUUUGGCCUUUAAGAACUUAGCACCAAUAGUGUGGAUGCCUCAAAUGGAAUCAUAACACACCAUGGAUAAAGGAUGACAUUUUGAAAGAGAAUUCCAUGCACCAAAAUCGUCCAUCUUUCUCUAAGAAUAGAAGCACACAAAAAUGAUCAUGAAGUAACAUAUUUAUAUGUUGAAUUCCAAAGGUCAUGGGUAAAACCCAAAUCCAUACCCAUGGGUUUAUGAUCCAUGGUUCAUGUGGCCCAACUCUUUAUGUAUCCAUACAUAAACUUAAUCCAACAUGGAACAUAAGCCCAACACAUAUAAAUUUAACUAAUUUACACAACUAGUCCCCAUUGAUUUAAUUAGUCUCUUUUGAUCACUAAAUUAAUUCCAAACUAAUUCUUGAUCAAUACUAAUUAAAUCAUAUGAUUUCAUAUUAAUAUAUUAGAACUUAUAAUAUAUUAAUAAAUUAUAUAUAACCACUUCUCAAAAGUCCAUCCUAACAAAUCGUCAUGAUGAUAUGCAACCCAAAUAGACCAUGUUACUCUCGGGUCGUGUACAUACCAAUAAUAGUUAUGGGCUUAGACAUCUAAUCCAAUAGUCUCCCACUUGGAUAAGUCUAAAACUAUUAUUGCAAAUACGACUCCAAAAUCCCGACUAGCAAUCAUAGCUCUUAAAAACCGAUGUCGAACUCUGACCUGGUUAAUGACGUGUCAAUUAGAUACGAGAUCAUAUAUUCCUCAAUUCUAGAUAUCAUAUGGACUGAGACAUGGAUUAUAAUCAAUCUCUCUGUCCAUUUGUUGUUUCCCGAUUUCUGAUUUAUGACGACCGACUAAUUGAACAAAUCAAAUCAGUCCAGGCCCGACCAAGCACUUCGGGUUGUCAUCACUAAAUCAUCGAGAGGCCCGCAAAUAUCGCUUUUAUCCCUCUAAGGGUAAAAGGAAUGGAUAAACUUCGACUCAUAUGCUUGCUCUAUCUACUCAUCAAAUCACACACAACAAUGUGUUUUAUAAUACCAAGUUACUUGUGCAUUUUCACAUUAUCAAUGUGCAACCGACUCGUAGACUGCAACUCAUAUCUCUCCGUUUGAAGAAUAUAAGAUAUUAUCGUCUCAUGAUCACUCGUGAUAAAAUCCAUGAAGUGAUUGAAAUGAGCGCGGGUUCAAUCCAAUACUCGAAUCUUAUUCCAGGAGCACUCAUGAAUACUGCAGCUAUGUCUAAAACACCUAGGCAUACUACAAACCCAUUCAUGACAGUCUUGCCUCAAUACCUACUUCCAAAGUAUGAUCGAAUGUGGACGGUUUGAAUAACCUAGUUAUUCGGGAAGUUAAAACAUACAAAGUGAAACACAAGAAUAAUAAUAAUCCUGUAUGACCCCAAAACUUUUGAGUCAUAUUGAUUACUCAUUAUUCAUUGUAUAAUGUUUCGAAUAAUCAACAUAAUACCUGAAUUAAAACAAUAGUUGUCCCAUGCACCAAGCAUGCACACCAUGUUUACCUAUGGUCGUUUCUUUGUGGAAUAGAUCAACUGACAACAUUUCAAUGAUGCUUAUUUCACAAUUCCAAAUCCUUAUGAUAAACGUAAGAAUACCAAAAUCUUGCCAUUUUUUGUAAUCUGUCAGAUUCUAAACUUACGUGUAAUGAUCCUCUUGUAAUGACUAUGCACAAAAGUCACAAAGACUUGGCAACAGACAUUACAAAGUAUUCCAAUCGAGAGCUAUUCCAUGGAACCGAAGUCUCAAAUUCAAAGUACAUUCCUUUGUGUUAGGUUUUUUUUAUUCAAACAUCUGGUUUCACAACUGAUAAAAUUGACAACGGAAGCUUUAAAAAAGUUGAAUAAAACUAAAACUAUUUUACCCACCAAGGAUCAUUUUGCAAGAGUUAGGAAGAUUAAAAAACCCAUAGAAGGGAAAGUAUAAAAACCUUUGAAGACUUUGAUCCUCAUGGGAGGUUGGAAGUUGAUGAAGUGUAGGAUGAAACUCUAAAGCAAGAGUUCUCUACAAGUAUCCACCAAGCAAGAAUAUAACCAUCAAAACAUGCUAGUAUUCACAUGUAAUUUUUUGUUCAAAAGCCUUUGAAAUAUAUACCAAAUAUAUGUUCAAAGUUGAAGCAAAAAAGGGACCUUUUCUAGCAUCAAAAUGCAAGAGAAUGGAGGAGAAGAAGAGGGCUUAAAUCUCAAAAUUUGGCAACCCUAUAUGAGCACCAUGCUCACGGUUUUGCUAGCCAAGAAGAAGAAGAAAGAAGGCUUUCAAGCAUACCAUCUAACCUUGCAAUCCCUCCCUUAUAUAGAGGCCAAAAAGCAAAGGGAGGAGACACAAAAGUGAAAGGAUGGGACAACACUCUUCCAAGGCAUGGGACAUACUUUAAACAAAGUAAAAGGUGUGCCAUGCUUUUGUCUCCUCUUCAAUUUUCGAGAUUAGCUAAGCAUGGGGCUUAUAUUAAACAAUAAAAAAGAAAUCUAGCCUAUAUCUUAAGUCAAAUCGACCAUAAGUUCAAGGAGACAAAAGGUGAGUGUUUAUAUAAAUAUACCAACUUUAUAUAAAAGCCUAUCAUUUAUAUAAAGUGUUCCUAAUAUUUAUAUAACAUAUAACUAGUCAUAUAUGUAUGAAUAUCUCUUUUUUAUAAAACUAACUUUUAUAUAAAUAAACUCUAACUAGUUUAUUAAUAUAUAAAUACAAGUUAUAAAUAAUCAUACUUUAUGAUAUAUUUCAUAAGUUGUUAUUUCUCUAAUAAAUAUUAUUUCCACAAAUAAUAAAUUCCCAAUUAGUAAAAUAUUAUUUCCAUGAAAUAAGAAUUUUCCAAUUAAAUACAAGCGUUGAUACAUUUAUUAAUAAUCAAAUUAUACUAAUAAAUAAUUAAUUGACGGUAACUUGCUAUAUGAUGUGACCCUAUAGGAUCAUAUAUUAUUAGCAAUAUCAUUAUAUAAUGACUCUUGGGCAUACUAGAUCUUUCAAUCUCCCACUUGCACAAGACUUAUCAUAGAUUGAUAUAGACAAUGGUAAAUGUCUUACAACAUUUGACUACCCAUAAUAACAUAUGAUGAAGAAUGCCAUUCAUCGACAUCCAAUUCCCAAAAGCUUUAAGCUUCAAUUGAUGUAUAAAGGUAAGUUUAUGAAUUAUCCCUUUGUUACAGACAUCCUAUUGAAACAUGAUCCUUGGAUCGCAAUCAAUCUCAUUUGUAAUUCAACUUUGGGUAACGCGCGUCAAAUAUCUUACUCUCAACGAAUAAGAGGAACAAAUCUCAUCUUGACUGCGUAAGCCUCUUGCAUAGUUCACACCACACCUAAAUAUGACUUUUAUAACUGCUCGGUCAAGGAACAACAUUUUUCCAUAUCAAAGCACAAUAAUCCCUAUACUUAAGUCCCACUAUGUAUCUCAGGUGUGUUAAGGAUACAAAUAUAGUACCUUUUAAUCAAGUAUCACUCACGACUGCGAUCUAUGAGUUGAUCUUGAUGCGAGUCCGUUCAGUACUAGUUCUCUGACAAGUCCCUAUGAAACUUGGUUACAACCACUUGCCUACUUUCAUCUAGUGAGAUUCAACCAAUCCAUUUCCUUUUAGUCUUACUUCAUUAUUACUCCCACAAUCAUGACCGACUAUGAACCUUUAGAAUAAUAAGAUUUUUCAUGGAUUAAACAUGUUAAUAUAGGACACAACAAGUAUUAAUGUAAUGAUCAUAUCCUAGUAUUUCAAAACAUUAUUUCAUAGUUGUUGUUACAAUGUUCCAAUAUCCAAAUACUAAAUUCAAAUCAAAGUCCCAUUAAUAGAAUAAUAAUAAAAGUCUUUUGGCUUAAGUGUGACCACUCAUACUUAGCUUAAAAGGAAAGCUUUAUUAAUGGGUUCAACUAAAUUUAAUUUGUGUGAAUUUCUCGAAUACGAUAUCUCCAUAUUUUACUUUUCCUCCUUGCAACUCGACGGGUACACACACAUGCCUAUCCAAGGGAAAAGCCAUCCAACUCGCCGAAUUGUUCUUCAACUCGUCGAGUUUUAUGGUGAUCUUCCUCGGACUCGCCGAGUUGUUCAUCCAACUCGCCGAGUUCAAUGACCAUCUUCAUGUGACUCGCCGAGUUCAUUCUUGCGACUCGCCGAGUCCAUCCAGUCCUCUUUCCAUACAGACUUGUUUUGAGCCAUGCAGCAGCUCCGUAUCACAGAUCCAAGCUUCUAGGGCAUACUUACCAUGUAAAGUUGCAAACUUUACAUGCAUGCAUGGUUAUAAAGGCUCCAAAUGUCUAUUUUAAGUUCUUAAUGGAGCUUCUAGUCCAAGAGGGACUUCCACCACAACCAAUACAACAACUUUAUGACUCUAGCAUCCAAGGAGGGUCCAAAUCUAAAGUUAUAACUUCAGAUCUAGCCCAUAGAUCAACAUCCCAACUUGAAAAUCCAUAAAAAGCCCUAGAUCUCAACAAAAAGGAAGAAAAGGAAGUAAGAAUGGCACUUUGAUACCUUCAAACGAUGAUAGCUGAGGAAAAACUUGCUUCCCACUCCUUUCUUGCUUCAAUUUCCUUUGCACUCUUAGCUUCCUUCCUCCAAAAUCCUCUUUUCCAAGCUUUAAACCCACACCAAAGCACACACACUCAUGAGUUAGGGUUUCAAGGGCUCUCAAAGACUGUAAGGAGGCCCAAAGGAGGCUGAGGCUCCUUUAAAUAGGGGUGCAAACCCCAGGAUUUAGGGUUUCAUCUGCUAGCUCCUACUCGCCAAGUCCCAAUACUGGACUCGCUGAGUAGGUCACNUGGAGCUUCUAGUCCAAGAGGGACUUCCACCACAACCAAUACAACAACUUUAUGACUCUAGCAUCCAAGGAGGGUCCAAAUCUAAAGUUAUAACUUCAGAUCUAGCCCAUAGAUCAACAUCCCAACUUGAAAAUCCAUAAAAAGCCCUAGAUCUCAACAAAAAGGAAGAAAAGGAAGUAAGAAUGGCACUUUGAUACCUUCAAACGAUGAUAGCUGAGGAAAAACUUGCUUCCCACUCCUUUCUUGCUUCAAUUUCCUUUGCACUCUUAGCUUCCUUCCUCCAAAAUCCUCUUUUCCAAGCUUUAAACCCACACCAAAGCACACACACUCAUGAGUUAGGGUUUCAAGGGCUCUCAAAGACUGUAAGGAGGCCCAAAGGAGGCUGAGGCUCCUUUAAAUAGGGGUGCAAACCCCAGGAUUUAGGGUUUCAUCUGCUAGCUCCUACUCGCCAAGUCCCAAUACUGGACUCGCUGAGUAGGUCACUAAACACGUGUUCUCACCCCGCUGCUACUCGACGAGUAAGUCGACCAACUCGUCGAGUAGAGCUUCAUCCAUAAAUUCUUAAUUAAUUAAUACUUGAGGAUCGGGGCGUUACAAUUCUCCCCCACUUGAACUAGACUUCGUCCUCGAAGUCUGCUGAAGAAAACAAUGUCGGGUAAUGCUCGCGUAUUUCCGCUUCCGACUCCCAUAUCCACUCGGAUCCCCUCCAAUGUUCCCACUGCACCUUUACUAAAGGUAUUUCCUUAUUCCGCAGAAUCUUCUUCUUCCUUUCCAAAAUAGCUACAGGCCUUUCCACAUAGUUCACGCGCUCAUCGACCUGAAUGUCAUCCAACAAUACCACUGCUUCCUGGUCCAUAACGCACUUUCGCAAUUUCGAAACAUGAAAUGUGCUAUGGAUCCGACUAAGUUCCUCCAGAAGCUCUAGCCUAUAAGCCUCCCUGCCAACCUUGGCCACAAUCCUGAACGGUCCGAUGUAUCGGGGACCCAAUUUUCCCCUCUUCCUGAAGCGGAUCACACCCUUCCAGGGUGAGACCUUCAGGAGAACCAUGUCACCCUUCUGAAAUUCCAACUCAGAUCGGCGUCGAUCAGCGUAACUCUUCUGUCGACUCUGAGCGGUCUGCAGCCGCUGUCUAAUCUGCUGUAUCAUCUCGGUAGUUUGCAGAACUACCUCUAUCCGACCCAUCACCCUGUGCCCAACCUCGCCCCAACAGACUGGGGUCCUACACUUCCGCCCAUACAACAGCUCGAAAGGCGGGGCGCCAAUAUUGGAAUGAUAGUUGUUGUUGUAGGCGAACUAUACAAGCGGUAGGUGGGAAUCCUAACUCCCACUGAAGUCAAUGACGCACGCCCUCAACAUAUCUUCGAGGGUCUGAAUGGUACGCUCACUCUGCCCAUCAGUCUAUGAAUGGAACGCUGUACUAAAAUGCAGCCUCGUGCCUAGUUCCUCGUGGAACUUCUGCCAAAAACGGGAAGUUAAUCGGACAUCCUGAUUGGAAACUAUGGAAACUGGUACCCCGUGGUGAAAGACAAUCUCGCGGACGUAUAGGCGGCCAACUUCUCCGCCGACGAACUCUCUCGUAUAGCUAGGAAAUGGGCGCUCUUGGUGAAUCGAUCCAUAAUGACCCAUAUAGCGUCGAAACCCUUUGCCGUCUUCGGCAACUUCGUGAUGAAAUCCAUCGUAAUCCAUUCCCAUUUCCACAUGGGAAUCUCUAGGGGCUUCAACUUACCAUGCGGCCUCUGGUGCUCGGCCUUGACCAUUCUGCAGGUCAAGCACCUCUCAACGCACCAAGUGAUAUCUCGCUUCAUCACAGGCCACCAAUAACUCAAAAUCAAAUCACGGUACAUCUUGGUAGCCCCCGGGUGAAUAGAAAAAUGAGACUUAUGAGCCUCCUCCAUCACUGUCUACCUAACUCCUCCGGUCAUCGGAACCAAAACCUGACCAUAUCAGGUCAAUAGCCCGCGACUAUCCUGAACAAACCGGGCGCUUUCGCCCUUAAUCCUUUCCAAUUUCCAAUUCUCCGGUUUCAUACCCUCGAUCUGAGCAUCCCUGACCAACCCCACCAGUAGGGAAUCCACCGCUAUCCUCAUACAUCUGGCUGGGGUAGAAGACCCAACUAAAUUGCGGCUCAGAGCGUUCGCAACCACAUUCGCUUUACCAGGAUGGUAAAAGAUCUCGCAAUCAUAGUCCUUGACUACAUCUAGCCACCUGCGCUGCCUCAUAUUCAAGUUCGGAUGAUCCAUUAUGUGCCUCAAACUCUUGUGAUCCGUGUAUAUGGUACAACGGACCCCAUACAGAUAGUGCAUCAAAAUAUUGAGAGCGAAGACCACCGCUCCCAGCUCAAGAUCAUGCGUGGGGUAUCUCGUCUCAUGCGGCUUCAACUGUCGCGAUGCAUAAGCUAUCACUCGCCCCCUCUGCAUGAGGACUGCCCCUUAGCCUGUGAUGGACGCAUCACAAUAUACCACAAAAUCCUCCACUCCCUCGAGGAGUGUCAACACCGGCGCCUCGCAUAACCGCUGCCGGAGGGUCUCAAACGCCCUCUGCUGCUCCGGGCCCCACCGGAAAUCUACUCCCUUCCUCGUUAGACAAGUGAGGGGUACGGAAACCUUGGAGAAAUCACGAAUGAAUCUCCGAUAAUACCUUGUUAAUCCCAGAAAACUCCUGAUGUCUGAGGGAGAUCUCGGAGUCUCCAACUGCAUAACCGCCUCCACCUUGGCCGGAUUAAUCAAAAUCCCAUCCUGGUUAACGAGAUGUCCAAGGAACUGAACCUCUCGCAACCAGAACUCACACUUCGAGAACUUGGCAUCAAGCAGUUCUCGUCGCAGCACCUCCAACAGUUCCC
RNAcentral lists this long non-coding RNA (53358 nucleotides) under Lactuca sativa (garden lettuce). RNAcentral's name for it is "long non-coding RNA (LSAT_LNC005397)". The record is from RNAcentral. Lineage: Eukaryota; Viridiplantae; Streptophyta; Magnoliopsida; Asterales; Asteraceae.